AGCAAAUUUUAUGGUCAGCUUUGGACAUUGAUGGACCUUCAACAUCUCCAAACGAGGGAAUAAGAAAUAAUCACACCAUCCGAAACUAAAACAGGCAAUACUUGAUAAUUGUUCUAGCGACAACUCCUUUAGAUUAGGAAGCACUAUCUCCUUCUCAACGUUCACAGGUGAAGCUUGAUCAUCCUUGAUAGAAUUAAUCUUGUUGUUUUAUUUCAGUUUGUUUUGUUUUAAUUCCAGCAGAGUUUAAGAGUAGACGUAACCGUUCAUAUAGAAGUUAUGAUUUAGAGGUUAUUUAGUGGACGUAACUUUUCAUAUAGCAGUUAUGAUUUCAAGGUUAUUUAGAGGACGUAACCUUUCGUAUUUGCUUCUAUAUAUAAUAAGAAAAUCAGAAAAUGAUGUAGAAAGUUAAGCAUCACAAAAAGGCUUCUGUUCUUUGAUUAUUUUGUCUCUGAAUUUGUGUGAGUUUCCCAAAUUGUGUGACUGGCCGUAAGAAAGAAUAACCAUCAUUUGGUAUCAGAGCCAAGGUUGUCAAAGCAAUGGCCGGUGUUGAAGGAGAUCAAUCUCAGACGCUUGCAGUCGUCAAUGCAAAUUGGCGAAGAGGAGCCUCAAUCCCGAUCCAUUAUCCAAUGUUAAGCGAAACGAACUAUGGCAUAUGGGCUGUCAAGAUGAAGAUAAUCUUGCGUUCGCUAGGAGUAUGGUCAGUGAUCGAAGGUGCAGACACAGACGACGACAAAGAUCAAGGCGCCAUGGUAGCCAUCUCUCAAGCCGUGCCAGAUGACGUGAUGAUGGCAAUCGCGGAGAAGCAGACGGCAAAGGAGGCUUGGGACGCACUCAGGGAGAUGCGAAUUGGCGAAUAUCGUGUCAAGAAGGCACGUGUACAAGUACUGAAACGACAAUUGUACAAGGUGCAUAUGCAAGAUUCAGAAACCGUAAAUGACUAUUCGAUGAAGUUGACUGCCUUGGUUGGUGAGAUCCGAUCACUUGGCGCGAAACUUGAAGAAAGCGAAGUUGUUGAAAAGCUGUUCAGUUCGGUUCCAGAUCGAUUUCUUCAAAUCAUUGGGACAAUUGAGCAGUUUGGAGAUGUAGACACGAUGUCGGUUUCAGAAGCUAUUGGGCGUUUAAGAACAUUUGAAGAGGGAUUGAAGGGGCGAUCUCAUACAGAGAGUACAGGAGAGCAGUUGCUAUUCACCCAAACCGAAAGGGAAGCAAGAACCCCAAAGGCAAAGAAAUAUGAAAGUUUCAGCAACAACAAAAGAGGAGGACGUCACUGGAGAGGACAUGGUAGUGGGCGUGGAUAUGGUGGAGGUCGAGGAAAUGGUGAACGCACUAACGAAGACCGAAAGCCACGAAACUUCGACAAAUCCAAGGUUAAGUGUUUCAAUUGUAAUGAAUUUGGACACUUCGCAAAAGAUUGUUCCAAGCCAAACCGAAGAGAGAGGGCUAAUUUUGUUACAACACAAACCGAUGAUGAACCGGCACUACUGAUGGCCGAAACUUGUGUUAUCAGCCACUCAAUACAGAACGAGCAUGUGUUACUGCACGAAGACAAGGUGGUGCCAAAGAUUAAAGGCACUCGAGAGAAGGCUUGGUAUUUAGAUACCGGAGCAAGUAACCACAUGACCGGAUGUAUUGAAAAAUUUGCUGCAAUUGACACGACUAUUACAGGGUCAGUCAAAUUUGGGGAUGGCUCGACUGUAAAAAUCCAAGGAAGAGGUUCGGUUUUGCUUGAAGACUUCACAGGUGAACAUCGAAUACUUACUAAUGUCUACUACAUCCCAAUGUUGAAGAGCAACAUAAUAAGCCUUGGCCAGUUGGAUGAAAACGGAUGCAAGGUUGUGAUUGAAGGAGGUGUUAUGACUAUUUUGGACAGAUUACAAAGGCUAUUAGCAAAAGUGAAGAGGUCAAGCAACCGGUUAUAUAUGCUUAACAUAGCACCAGCUCUACCCGAAUGCUUUCUGGUAAGGAGCAAAGAAGAAGCAUGGCGAUGGCAUGCAAGAUACGGGCAUGUAAAUUUUCAUGCUUUGAAGUCUCAAAGUCAGAAACAGAUGGUGCACGGCUUGCCCAUAAUCGAGCAUGAAGAUCGCAUUUGUGAUGGAUGUUUGAUUGGAAAACAACAACGAAAACCAUUCCCUGCUGAAUCAAAUUUCAGAGCCGAGUACCCUCUUGAGUUGUGGCAUAUAGAUUUGUGCGGGCCAAUCACACUGACUACGAAUGGGGGAAAGCGUUAUUUUAUGCUAAUUGUCGAUGAUUGCACAAGGUUUAUGUGGCAGGUUCUGAUCUCAAGCAAAGCCGAGGCGUUCGAAAGUUUUAAAAGGAUCAAAGUUGCAGCCGAAAUGGAGAAGGGGUGUAAGUUGAAAGCUUUUCAAAGUGAUCGUGGUGGUGAAUUCACAUCAAAUGAGUUCAAGGGCUUUUGCGAAUUAAAUGGUAUUAAACACUACCUUACUGCACCUUAUUCUCCGCAGCAAAAUGGUGUCGUGGAACGGAGAAAUCAGACAGUGGUUGGCAUGGCAAGAAGUUUGCUGAAAAGUAAAAGUGUUCCCGGCGAAUUUUGUGGAGAAGCGGUGUCAACGGCAAUUUACUUGCUGAACAGAGCACCAACUAAGAGUCUAGUUGACAAGACACCCUAUGAAGCCUACUACAAUCGAAAGCCAAGAGUUGAACACAUGGCAGCAGUAAAGCACAUACUGAGGUACGUGAAGGGAACAUUGAACUUUGGUUUUGUGUAUGAGAAGAAAGAAGGAGAUUUGGAGCUGAUCGGGUUUUCGGACAGUGAUCUGGCUGGUGAUAAUAAUGACAGAAAAAGCACUUCAGGAUUGAUAUUCUUUCUUGGGGCAAAUCCGAUCAGCUGGUGUUCACAAAAGCAGAAAGUGGUGGCGCUGUCUUCAUGCGAAGCAGAAUAUAUUGCUGGUUGUGCGGCAGCGUGUCAAGGUGUGUGGCUGAGUCGAUUGUUAGGAGAAUUGCUAAAGGCUGAACCUAAGAAAGUGGUGCUAAAAAUGGAUAAUCAAUCCGCAAUUGCUCUAACCAAGAACUCAGUUCAUCAUGAGAGGAGUAAACAUAUUGACACUCGGUUUCAUUACAUAAGAGAUUGUGUGAAAUCGGGAUUGGUUGAAGUUCAGCAUGUUCGUACCGAGGACCAGCUUGCUGAUAUCUUAACGAAGUCACUGGGAAGGAUAAAGUUUCAGGAGAUGAGAGGAAAGAUUGGUGUACUGGACAUCAAUAAAGAACAACAAGCUUAAGGAGGAGAAUGAUAUAAUUAAUCUUGUUGUUUUAUUUCAGUUUGUUUUGUUUUAAUUCCAGCAGAGUUUAAGAGUAGACUUAAGAGUAGACGUAACCGUUCAUAUAGAAGUUAUGAUUUAGAGGUUAUUUAGUGGACGUAACUUUUCAUAUAGCAGUUAUGAUUUCAAGGUUAUUUAGAGGACGUAACCUUUCGUAUUUGCUUCUAUAUAUAAUAAGAAAAUCAGAAAAUGAUGUAGAAAGUUGAGCAUCACAAAAAAGCUUCUGUUCUUUGAUUAUUUUGUCUCUGAAUUUGUGUGAGUUUCCCAAAUUGUGUGACUGGCCGUAAGAAAGAAUAACCAUCAAUCCUGCCCAAAUACUCCAAAUAAUUGAGAGGAUUUUGUUACUCUAACUAUUUGGAGUUUUGGGAGACCUGAAGCCAUGACUGCUGGGAAGAGACUUUUCAACUUGUUACAUUCUCUAAUCUCAAUUUCACACAAAUCGGGAAACCAUAAAGAUUGGAGAUGAUCUCCUAACAAUAUUUGGUCGUUUUCAUCAUCAUCCUUAGCAAUGAUUUUUAAUUCUGGAAAGCAAGGAGACUCUAGAAUUAUUUCCUUUUCACCAUCCUCUUCUCUGAUAAUAUACUUCAAUUCACCGCAAUCUCUUAUCUCAAGUCUUUCUAGCUUUGGCAGACUUUGAGCGAGGGACGGUGUAAAGAUAAAUGUCAGUUUGUCGAGAUAAUCCAACUUCAGAUGAGCAAGACUUUGGAGGCUGACAUUCCUGGUGGGCCCCUUCCAUAUACAUUUGAGCUCAGGUAACCUUUGCAGCUGUAACUCUGUUAAAGAUGACAGCAGCUCCUUCUCCUCACUGCGACCUUCAUCAGGCAGCUCACCUAAUUCAAAAACAUAUUCGCAGCACCAUUCUUGAAAUCAUGUAACAGCUAACCAACCUUGCCUGAUGCAAACAUGAAGAAAAAAGACGAUCCAUGAUUUAAUUCAACCAUUAAAAUUUGAGGGUAAAGGAGAGGAUAAAUAAUUGCAGCUAUAUCACCUGGUUUGGGCAAGAAAGAAUUAUUAGACUAGCAAUCAUCAUCAUCAUCAUCAUCAUCAUCAUCAUCUUCUUCUUCUACUACUACUACUUCUUUCCACACGUUAUUUCUGGUCCACUCUCUAUUAAUGCUUGAAUCUUCAGCUACUUCGGAUACCUGUAAACCAAUUCAAGCAUGGCAUGCUCAUUUUAACUUGUAAAUCAUAUUAUUGAGCGAAACAAGAGACAAACACACUAAAAGAGAGGCAAGAAAUCAAGUCAAAUCAGCAGCACCUCUGAUUGAGCACUCAUUGAACCAUCUGGUGUAGUAGCAAAUUCUGUGGUCAGCUUUGGACAUUGAUGGACCUUCAACUUCUUCAAACGAGGGAAUAAGAAAUCACAGCAUCCGAAACUAAAACAGACAAUACUUGAUAAUUGUUCUAACGACAACUCCUUUAGAUUAGGAAGCACCAUCUCCUUCUCAACGUUGACAGGUGAAGCUUGAUCAUCCUGCCCAAAUACUCCCAAAAAUUGAGAGGCUUCACUUACUCUCAGUGUUUGCAGCUUUGGGAGACCUGAAGCCAUGGCUACUGGGAAGAGGCUCUUCAACUUGUUGCAUUUUCUAAUAUCAAUUUCACACAAAUUGGGAAACCAUAGAGAUUGGAGAUGAUCUCCUAACAAUAUCUGGUCGUUUUCAUCAUCAUCCUUAGCAAUGAUUUUUAAUUCUGGGAAGCAAGGAGACUCUGGAAUUAUUUCCCUUUCACUAUCCUCUUCUCUGAUAAUAUGCUUCAAUUCACCGCAAUUUCGUAUGUAAAGGCCUGCUAGCUUUGGCAGACUUUGAAUGAAGGACGGUGUGAAAAUAAAUGUCAGUUUGUCGAGAUAAUCCAACUUCAGAUGAGCAAGACUUUGGAGGCUGACAUUCCUGGUGGGCCCCUUCCAUAUGCAUUUGAGCUCAGGUAACCUUUGCAGCCGUAACUCUGUUAAAGAUGACAGCUGCUCCUUCUCCUCACUGGGUCCUUCAUCAGGCAGCUCACCCAAUUCAAAUACCUCUUCCAAUGAUUUACAGCUGUCAACAGUCACUUCCUUUAGAUUCUUCAGAGCUCGAAGAAAUUUUGCUGGAAACGGAGUGCGAACAUCCCCACAAUCGUCCACUCGUACAAUUUCUAAUCUUUUUAAGAAGCCGUUUUGCUGUCCAUGGAUGGCCAUCUUAUCAGAGAACAAUUUUAUAUUUUUUCACUCAUAAAAAAAAUAUUAUAUGAUGUAUAAAUAGGAGAAAAAAAUAGAAAAAAACAGGAUUAAAUACUUCUUAGAGAUUGCAUAUUAUUGUUUCAGUUUUUCUCUUAAUUAUAAUAAUAAUUAGAUUUUUGCGAAAAAAGGUUAAUACAACUCCUAAUAAUUAGUUUCUUGUAAAAAAUAAAAAUAAAAAUAGUAACUAAUAUUUUUAUUUUAGUUAUAAAGUUAAUAAAUAUUUAAAGAUAUUUUAAUUGAAUUAAAUAUUUGAACACAAAAUUUGUAAACACAUAAUAUGAUUUCUAUGAUUAAUUGUUGGUAUUAAUAACGCAAACAACAAUGAGGCAGUUAAGUUUCUUAUAUUUAUAUAUAUUUAGAUAAAAAUAAGCAUUUAUCAAUUACUUUACUUUUAGAAAUUGGGAGGAAGAAAGAAUAAAUUAUCGCAAUUGACAAUUUAAAUUAGUGGAGAAAUAUAAAGUACGUACUUGUAGCUGUGCCAACCAAUUACCCACUUCUUCGUGGCCUUUAAUGGUUAGUUGUUGCAAAGGCAAUUGAGCAUCAAAAUUCCUUGGACCUAAAAAGAUGUAAUUUGAUCUGAACCCAAGAGACAAUUCUCUUAGCUGAGGGGACUUGAUGAUGCCAUCUCUGGGGAGUGCAUCUCCUUCUCCACUGUAAAAUAUUUGCUUUAAAUUGUCAGCACCAUCAAUCGCCAUCUGUUCCAGGUUUGUAAGACUUGGAGACAUGGAGACAGGGAAGACAUAUUCCAGUGAAAAACAGAGAGAUAUUCGGAGAGUUUUUAAUUUUGGGAAGCAAGGAGACUCUGGAAUUAUUUCCUUUUCACCAUCCUCUUCUCUGAUAAUAUGCUUCAAUUCACCGCAUUUACUUAUCUCAAGUCUUUCUAGCUUUGGCAGACUCUGAGCGAGGGAAUGUGUGAAGAUAAAUGUAAGUUUGUUGAGAAGCCAAACACUUAGAUGAACAAGAUUUUGGAGGCUGACAUUUCUGGUGGGUCCCUUCCAUAUGCAUUUGAGCUCAGGUAACCUUUGCAGCUGUAACUCUGUUAAAGAUGACAGCAGCUCCUUCUCCUCACUGCGUCCUUCAUCAGGCAGCUCACCUAAUUCAAAUACCUCUUCCAAUGAUUUACAGUUGUCAACAGUCACCUCCUUUAGAUUUUUUAGAGCUCGAAGCAAUUUUGCUGGAAACGGAGCGCGAACAUCCCCACAAUCCUUCACUUGUACAAUUCCUAAUCUUUGUAAGAAGCCGUUUUGCUGUCCAUGGAUGGCCAUCUUAUCAGAGAACAAUUUUAUAUUUUUUCACUCUCAUAAAAAAAAUAAAUUAUAUGAUGUAUAAAUAGGAGAAAAAAAUAGAAAAAACAGGAUUAAAUACUUCUUAGAGAUUACAUAUUAUUAUUUCAGUUUUUUUUCUUAAUUAGAGAUAAGUUGAAUAAUAAUUAGAUUUUUGAGAAAAAAGGUUGCUAAUAUUUUUGAAGAUAUUUUAAUUGAAUUAAAUACUUGAACAAAAAAUUUAUGUUCUUAUAUAUUAAAUCUAACAGAUAAUAUGAUUUCUAUGAUUAAUUUUUGGUAUUAAUAACGCAAACAACAAUGAGCAAUAAAGAAUAAAAAAAUCAUAAAAAAUAAAAAUAAGCUACCAUGUUUGUUAUAUAAUUAAAAAAAAAAUCAAACCAAUUACUUUAGUUUUAGAAGUUGGGAGGAAGAAAGAAUAAAUUAUCAAUUACUUCAGUUUCAGAAAUUUGGAGGAAGAAAUCAACAUUAUUUGGGAGAUAUAAAGGACGUACUUGGAGCUGUGCAGACAAAUUUCCCAAUUCUUUGUGGCCAUUGAUUUUUAGAAUUUUCAAAGAAGGCAAUUGGGCAGCAAAAUUCUUUGGACCAAAAAAGCUGCAAUUUGAUCUGGAAGAAAGAUCCAGAACACUUAGCCGAGGGAACUUGAUGAUGCCAUCUGUGGUGAGUGCGUCUCCUUCUCCACUGUAAAAUAUUUGCUUUAAAUUGUCAACAUCAGAAAUCUGCAUCUUUUCCAGGUUCAGAAGGCUUGGAGACACAGAUACAGGGAAGACAUAUUCCAGUUUACCACAUCCAGAUAUAAGGAGAUUUUCUAAUUUUGGGAAGCGAGGAGACUCUUGAAUUAUUUCCCUUUCACCAUCCUCUUCUCUGAUAAUAUGCUUCAAUUCACCGCAUUUACUUAUCUCAAGUAUUUCUAGCUUUCGCAGACUUUGAGCGAGGGACGGUGUAAAGAUAAAUGUCAGUUUGUCGAGAUAAUCCAACUUCAGAUAAGCAAGAUUUUGGAGGCUGACAUUCCUGGUGGGCCCCUUCCAUAUACAUUUCACCUCAGGUAACCCUAACAGCCGUAACUCUGUUAAAGAUGACAGCUGCUCCUUCUCCUCACUGGGUCCUUCAUCAGGCAGCUCGCCUAAUUCAAAUACCUCUUCCAAUGAUUUACAGCUGUCAAUAGUCACCCCCUUUAGAUUUUUCAGAGCUCGAAGCAAUUUUGCUGGAAACGGAGUGCGAACAUCCCCACAAUCGUCCACUCGUACAAUUUCUAAUCUUUGUAAGAAGCCGUUUUGCUGUCCAUGGGCGGCCAUCUUAUCAGAGAACAAUAUUAUAUUUUUUCACUCUCAUAAAAACAAUUUAUAUGAUGUAUAAAUAGGAGAAAAAAAAGGAUUAAAUACUUCUUAGAGAUUACAUAUUAUUAUUUCAGUUUUUUUUCUUAAUUAGAGAUAAGUUGAAUAAUAAUUAGAUUUUUGCGAAAAAAGGUUAAAACAACGCCUAAUAAUUAGUUUCAUGUAAAAAAUAAAAAUAAAAAUAGUAACUAAUAUUUUUAUUUUAGUUAUAAAGUUAAUGAAUUUUUAAAGAUAUUUUAAUUGAAUUAUAUAUUUGAACACAAAAUAAGCUAAUAUGAUUUCUAUGAUUAAUUGUUGGUAUUAAGUUUCUUAUAUUUAUAUAUGUUUAGAUAAAACAAAACAAAAAGCAGUGAGGAAGAAAGAAUAAAUCUAACAGAUAAUAUAAAUUACGUAAACCAUGAGGCAGUUAAAUCUAACAGAUAAUAUAUUUCAAAUGAGGCAGUUAUAUCUAACAGAUAAUAUGUUCUUACAAAUGAUUAAUUUUUAAUAACGGAAACAACAAUGAGGCAGUUAAAUUUCUUAUAUUUAUAUAUGUUUAGGUAAAAAAAAUAAAUUAUCGCAAUUGACAAUUUAAAUUAGUGGAGAAAUAUAAAGUACGUACUUGUAGCUGUGCCAACCAAUUACCCGCUUCUUCGUGGCCUUUAAUGGUUAGUUGUUGCGAAGGCAAUUGAGCAUCAAAAUUCGUUGGACCUAAAAGGCUGUAAUUUGAUCUUAACCGAAGAGACAAUUCUCUUCGUUGAGGGAACUUGAUGAUGCCAUCUGUGGUGAGUGCAUCUCCUUCUCCACCGUAAAAUAUUUGCUUUAAAUUGUUAGCAUCAGAAAUCUGCAUCUCUUCCAAGUUCAGAAGGCUUGGAGACACAGAUACAGGGAAGACAUAUUCCAGUUUACCACAGCCUCUUAUGAAGAUUUUUUUUAAUUUUGGGAAGCGAGGAGAGUCUGGAAUUAUUUCCCUUUCACCAUCCUCUUCUCUGAUAAUAUGCUUCAAUGCACCGCAAUCUCUUAUCUCAAGUCUUUCUAGCUUUGGCAGACUUCGAGCAAGGGACGGUGUGAAGAUAAAUGUCAGUUUGUUGAGAUGCGAAACUUCAAGAUGAACAAGAUUUUCGAGGCUGACAUUUCUGGUGGGCCCCUUCCAUAUGCAUUUGAGCUCACGUAAGCAUGACAGCUGUAAAGUUGUUAAAGAUGACAGCAGCGGCAUCUCCUUCUCCUCACCCAAUUCAAAUACCUCUUCCAAUGAUUUACAGCUGCCAACAAUCACCUCCUUUAGAUUUUUUAAACCUUGCCGCAAUUUUGCUGGAAACAGAGUGAAAACAUCCCCACAAUGCCUCACUUCUACAAAUUCUAAUUUAUGUAAAAACAAUUGCUCAAAUGUCUUCGCAUUGAAGGAUGUACCAUCCAAACUUAAUCUUGUCGAGGAUGGGUAUCGUCCUGCAUCAGACCGAUUCCCUAAUAUUAUAUCAUAUUUGCGCCCAUACCCUAUUAUUAUAUGAUAUUUGCGCAAGCUAACUGGAAAAACAAAAUCUCUAGGAAUGCAUUCAACCUGCGGUAUCCACAAUGAUAAUACGGCUAACUGAGACAACGAAUUUAGUUCUGUUAGGCUUGCAUUCAUUCCUCCAGUGCUGUCACAUCCAACAACAUCCCAUCCAUGAAAGCUUUCAUCCCCGAUCAACAGCUCUUCUAACUUCUUCAACCUUCCCAUCAAAUUCACAGGGAUCCUUCCUAGGCUUUCACAACCUCUCACAUCCAACAACCUUAACUCCUUGAGUUCUCCUAUUUCAUCAGGUAAUUCUUCAAUGUAGUAGCACGACAUAAGACCAAGAAUCCUAAGUCUCUGCAGCUUUCUCAACCAAAUGAGGUCCUUGCAAUGACACGAGAUCAACACCAACGAUUGAAGUUUCGUUGAGAGUUCAAGUGAUUGCAACGACAAACGCCCUCCCUUCAGAGACAAAACUUCAAUUUCUUUCAUCCCUUCAAAGAACCUCUGAGGAACAUUCAAACCAUCAUCCACUUCUAAUAAUAGAACUUUGAGCCGUGGACAUACCAAUCCUUCAGGAAGUUCAGCUAGUUUAUUGCCCAUUAACGAAAUUGUUGUACAACCUUCAAAGCUUUUACCCGUCCAUUGCCACUUCUCUAACCCUAAGCCAGCCUUUACCAUGAAUCUAUAUUCUUCUGAUGAUGCUAUCUGAAUAGCAAAGUCACGAACAAGGUCAUGCAUUCUCACAUGUUCUUCAGUUUCAGAGCCCAACAGCAUGCAACAAUCUUUGAGGUUUUCGAUUGCCACAGAAACUCGUUUCCUUGCAUCUUCAAUGGGCUCCGCAUCUUGAAUGAAUGGUAACCCAUAGCCAACUGCAUAUCUUGUCAAGUCCUCGAUUGGAAUGUCAUAGUCUUCUGGAAAUAAACAGCAUAGCACGAAACAUGACUUGGUUUCCUCGAGCUUCAAAUAAUCAUAGCUCAACUUAAGACAUGUAUAAGCAUUAUUUUUUUCGUCAAUUUGUUCCAUGCGCGCAAAUUGAGAUUCUUUGAGCUGUCUAGACGCUGAUUCCCACUGAAGUGCAGAUGCAUCUCUUAGAGCCCUUCCCACUGUCACAAGUGCUAUGGGCAAGCCUUGGCAUUCUCUCGCAACCUCCCUUGCCACUGUGUUCAAGGUAGAGUUCCCAUCAGGUAAACCUGCAUUGAUUCUGAAUAAAUCCCAUGCUUCUUUUUCAGGUAAGGGAAUUAACAACACUUUUAGCUCGCACCCCAUAGAAGAACAUAUGCCUUUAAGACGUGUUGUUAGAAGAAUUUUACAACCCCUAUGAUCAUCACCAAAUGGGAUCCCUAUCUCUUCCAAGUCAAUAUGUUUCCAAACAUCAUCCAGGAUAAUAAGCAUCUUCUCCACUUUCUUCAGUUUCUGCCGUAAUCGAUCAGCUCUCCCUUCUUUAGUGUUUUCUUCAAAUUUCAAACCUAACUUAUCUGCCAUUCGGUUCUGAAUGUCUAUGACAUUUGGAUUCUGCGACACCGUAGCCAUCAAAACUUCAUCAAAAAGCGGCGACUCUCUGGCUUUCCUGCCUACAUCUUUCAUCAGGGUGGUUUUACCCACCCCUCCCAUGCCGUACAGUCCGAUCAUAUUGACACUGUCAUCUUUGAGAGCUUCCAUAAUCUGUUUGAAAGCUUCUUCUGACGAUUUUGAGGGCGUGAAUUUCUUUGAUGGAAGAAAUUCUAUGGGCUCAGGAUGAGCUCUGUGGGACACUUUUGUAGGCUUUUUUCCCUAAAAGUUCUCUGAAAGUCUCCGACUUCUUGGCCAGUGCCUUGCUUAACUUGAAUUGUCGCAUGCAGUUUGGACACCAAGUAAAGCAUUUGCCAUUUUUUCCUAUUUCAUUUUCCAAGGGCUUCGCACGUUCAAUUUCGUCUUCUGCAUCUCCCAGCCACCUUUCGACAUCCUUCUUAAUUUCUUCAGCAUUCCUUUCAGCAGCAUCGACAUCUUUUUGCAGACCAUCUAGUGCUAAAGCAAGGUUCUCCUUUUUUUGUUUGAAUUCUUCAACAAAAUGGUUGAAACAGAACAUGUAACGGAACUGCCUUCCUACUGGUUCCACCAUGAGCUCUGCUAUCUUAGAUAUAACGGAUCCACCCACACUUUCAAGAGCCAUUUUCCACAGGUCUGAAAAUCAAAGAAAUAAGGAUACAGAACGUGAGAGUGAGUCACUACAAGUAAAACAGGCGCAGAGAGAAUGGGAAUAGGAACUUCAUUACCUUAAUUUGGGAAAAUAUGUGAGAAAAGCACUGGCAAUCAAUGAAAUAGCGGGAGGAAGAAAAGGAGAAGGCCUCUAGCUCUGUAUGGAAUCCAGCUUCAAAAGCAACAGGGCAAGAUUCAAACUGACACUUGUGAGUUGAAGUAGUAAUUCCCAUUAAAAAUGCAUCUUGAUGACAUAAUUAAGAUAAUAUAGAGACAGUGACAGAGAAAUAAAGAAACGAAUGAAAAGUUCAGGAUAAUCACAUAGACGUCUUCAUGGAUGAUACCAGCUCGCUACCAACAAACAAAUAUAAUUAACCUAAGUUGUGAUAGGUCAAAGUUUUUUUUAGAUUUAUUUAAAAAAAAAAACAGAUCAACAAAGAAUAAUUAUCGAAAGAAACUCCAUAAAGAAUCAAACUGAAGCAAUUAAAAAUAAUUAAUUUAUUUCAAAUUUAAAUUAUAUUUAUUAAAUUAUAUAUAAACAGUAUAACUUUUAAAUGGCAACCCAAAACACUUUAAAAUCAAAAUAUUCCAUUUCAAUUGAAAAAAUAAAAUAAUUGCAUUCAGCAAUUAAGCACAGCAAUAUUAAAAAAAGAAAAAAGCUAAAAGAAAUACGUUUUUUAUGGCAUCGAGAGUGCGGUUACUUUUUUCAUCCCUUUUUUUUUUGUUUUAUUUUAUUUCAGUCCUUCAAGUCUUUUUCUUUUGCUAUUUCAUCGAGUUUCUUUACUCUUGAGUUGUUGUGCUUGCUCUCGAAUAUGCAUUAUGCUAGGAAUUACAAUUACAUUACAUAAAAAAUUAUAAUUACAAAUUUAAAAAAAAUUAUGAGAAAGGACCAACAUUACAAUGUGAGCAAAUGAAAGGAGAAUUUUAAAUUUUCUUGUGACAUGGUGAAAAGCUAAUCCAAGGAACCAAUAGAUUAUCGCCACUUGUUCACCCUUAUCUGCACAUUAAGAUAGGGGUAGAAAGUAGGAGAGAAAAGUCAUAAUCUUAGAUUCUUUUGUGACAUGGAGAUAAAGGUCAUCUCAAAAGCUAAUAGAUAGUCGCCACGUGUUCGACUUUAUCUACCCUUUAGUAAAGGAUAGAAAGUGCGAGAGAGAAAGGUUAAAAGGCUUUAAAAGAAAAGGAAAAAAAAUGGAAAGACACGGUUGAGAAAACAGGGACGUGGAACUAGAACCAGAAACGGAAGGAGACAUAGAAAGAUCGGAGGGGAGUAAGAAAAAAAUAUGAAUAUGUGAUGUCCUAUUUUAUUUGGAAUUUCUUUGGACACUUUAAUAAUAUAAUAACAAAAAAAAUUAAAAUAUUUAUGAAAUUAUCAUUCAUUCAAACACAUAUUUACUGUGGAAUACAAUAGUAUUUUUUUCUAUAUUUUACGUUUUAGUUUUUGAUAGCCAUGCUCGUUUGAUUUUUUUAUUUUUGUUUUCAUGCUCUUACAAAUAAAGCAGGAAACGAGGACCUGAAAUCACGACAGCAAAUAAGGAGAGAAAUAACGUGUUUAACCGAACCUCGUAACUCCAGGAAAGUGAAGGACUAAACCAUAGUGGCAAAAAUCUUAAAGGGUUCUAAAUUGUCUCUGUUACUUUCCCUUAAUUUUCUAGACAAGCAAAAGGAGCUAAACUUAUUCCCGACCAAAACAUCAAGAAUUUCAGUAGAGCAAAAGUAGAGAUUAUUACUUGACCAUAAACAACUAGUCAGCACUACCCAAAGAAACCGAGUCAAUGAGAGAAAAAGACUAUUAGCUAGAAAAGAAUCAACAGAUCCAAGAAUUUUCUGUAUGGUUUCCAAGAAAAUGAAACGAAAUGAGCAGCACAACCCUCUUUCUCCACAAGAAAAGAAAAGAAAAAGAAAGGAAAGAAACAAAGAUAGAAAGUCAAACUUGGCUUCUCUUUAAGUGUUAUAAAAAAAAAAAAAAAAAAAAAAAAGUUCGAGGAAGUGGGCAGCCUUUUUUCUGCUGUUUAUGUGGUGUUCUGCUGUUCACGCAGACUAAGAACUCCUACCAUCGUAAAAUCAUAUAAUUAAAACACAACAAAAAAAAAGUAAUGAGCAGCUCAUUAUGUGCGAAAACCAGAGAAAUAAGGUUACAGAACGUGAGAGUGAGUCACUACAAGUAAAAGAGGCUCAGAGAGAAUGGGAAUAGGAAUUUCAUUACCUUAACUUGAGAAAUAUAUGCGAAAAGCACUGGUAUUGAGUGCUCAAUGAAAUAGCGGGAGGAAGAAGAGGAGAUGGCCUUUAGCUCUGUAUGGAAUCCAGCUUCAAAAGCAACAACGCAAGGUCUAAGCAUUUUGAUGACAUAAUUAAGAUACUAUGCGUAGUAAUAUAGAGACAGUGACAAAAAAAUAAAGAAAAAUAAUGUGUAAAAGUACUCACCUAGCAAAGAAAGAAACGAAUGAAAGGUUCGGAUAAUCACUUAGACGUCUCCAUGGAUGAUACCAGCUCGCUUCCACCAACAAAUUUAAUUAACCUAAGCUGUGACAGGUGUUUUUUUAAUUUAUUUUAUUUUAAAAAAAUACAGAUCAACAAGAGAAAGAGAAAAGACUUGCAAAAAAGUAGAAUUGCUGAAAGAAACUCAACAAAGAAUCAAACUCAAGCAGGUUAAUGAUUGACCUAUAACAAUAUUUAAAAAAAAAUAAAAAAAGCUAAAAGAACUACGUUUUUAAUAGCAUCUAGAGUGCGGUUACUUUUUUCAUCCCUCAUUUGUGGUUUUAUUUUAUUUCAGUCCUUCAAGUCUUUUUAUUUCGCUAUUUCAUCGAGUUGCUUUGGUCUUGAGUUAUUGUGCUUGCCCUCGAAUAUGCAUUAUGCUAGGAAUUACAAUUACAUCACCUAAAAAUUACAAUUACAUAUUAUAAUUACAAAUUUCAGUUUUUUAAAAAAAACAAUUUAUUAGAAAGGACCAAUAUUACAAUGUGAGCAAAUGAAAGGAGAACUUUAAAUAUUCUUGUGACAUGGUGACCAGGUAAUCCAAGGAACCAAUAGAUUAUCGCCACUUGUUCAGCCUUAUCUCCACAUUAAGGAUAGGGGUCGAAAGUAGGAGAGAAAAGUCAUAAUCUUAGAUUCUUUUGUGACAUGGAGAUAAAGGUAAUCUCAAAAGUUAACAGAUAGUCGCCACGUGUUCGAUUUUAUCUACCCAUUAGAAAAGGAUAGAAAGUAGGAGAGAAAAGUCAUAAUCGUUGUGACAUGGAGAUAAAGGUAACUCAAAAGCUAAUAGAUGGUCGCCACGUGUUCAACUUUAUCUACCCAUCCAUUAGGAAAGGAUAGAAAGUAGGAGAGAAAAGGUUAAAUGUUUUUUUUUUAACUAUUCAAUAUAUUCAUAGAAAACACUCAAAAUAAAAUUAUAGACAAAAAAAUAUAUAUUUCUUAUUUAUUGAAAACAUAAAAUUUUAAUUCAUGCAUUUUUUUUAUUUAAAAAAUGUAUUUUUUAUGAGUAACAUUAUUUUGCUCAAUGUCCCUAAUACAUAAUUAGUUAUAAAGUAAUGAAAAUAUCAUAAUAAAAAUUCCUAAUCUUCUUGAAAACAAUUAAAUAAUUGAACAAUCACUUAAAUAUUAUUUUAAUAAAUUGAUUGAAAGAAAUUUUUAAUUAAAAAUAAAGAAUAAAGAAUAAAAUGAUAUCUAAGAUAAAGGUCAUACAAAUUAAUAAAUUAUAAGUAGCAAUAUUUAAUGCAAGUUUAAGAAUAAGAGUUUGCUUUGUGUUUUGUUGUGAGAUUAACCAUAUCAAAUUAUAUAUUUAAUAAUAAAUAAUUGUGUUGUGUUAUGAGUAAAAUCAAUAAAUUAAAACACAACAAUAAAAAAGUAAUGAGCAGCUAAUUAUGUGCGAAAACCAGAGAAAUAAGGAUACAGAACGUGAGAGUGAGUCACUACAAGUAAAAGAAGGUCAGAGAGAAUGGGAAUAGGAAUUUCAUUACCUUAACUUGAGAAAAUAUGUGCGAAAAGCACUGGUAUAUAACAAAUAUACUGAUGAAAGGAAGAAGAGGAGAAGGCCUUUAGCUCUGUAUGGAAUCCAGCUUCAAAAGCAAUAAGGCAAGGUCUAAGCAUUUUGAUGACAUAAUUAAGAUAAUAUGCGUAGUAUAUAACAAAGAGACAGUGACAAAGAAAUGAAGGAAAAAAAUGUGUACAAGUACUCACCUAGCAAAGAAAGAAACGGAUGAAAGGUUCAGGAUAAUCACUUAGACGCCUCCAUAGAUGAUACCAGCUCGCUUCCAAUAACAAAUAUAAUUAACCUAAGCUGUGAUCGGUCAAUGUUUAUUUUAAUUUUCUUCUUUUUUUAAAAAAAAAAAAAACAGAUCGACAAGGGAAAAGACUUGCAAAGAAAUAGAAUUAAUGGAACGAACACAACAAAGGAUCAAUCUCAAGCAAUUAAAAGUAAUUGUCUAUGAGUACCAUCUGUGUCACACGCUCAAGUGAGGAGAGAAAAGAAAAAGAAAGAAAGGAAAGGGACAAGGAAGGCAGAAAGUAAGGUCACGUAGGGCCAGUCUUGUAGAAAGUUUGAAAAGUAGCAUGAAAUAAGAGGAUAAUAGCAUAGUUGUCAGAAUCAAAACACGUAUAAACAGAGGACAAAAACAGGGAGGGAGGCUGUUUUUUUUUUUUUAACUGUGUCGAGUGCUUUUUAUAAUUAUAUUUAAUUUACAAAAUAUUAAAUUAAUAUAUUUUUUAAUAUUUAUUGUUAUUAUAUAUAUAUAUAUAUAUUUAAUAUUUAAUAAAUUUUUAAAUAAAUUUUUUUUAAAAAAAGUAUGUGUCACAAUACAAAAUUAUAUAAUAAAUUAAAAAAAAAAGGAGUUUUAUGCUCAUUAAUAUUCACUAGACUUGUAGAUAUUAAUAAUAAAGUUUUUGAAAGUUUUCGAUCUAGUAUUUGAACUUAUUUUUUUUGCAUAAAUGAAUUUUUUUAAGCUUAAUUGCAGUUUUUUUAAGGAAAUAGGUUGAAUUGAGAAACAGAGAAACUCGGCAAAAAUACGUGGUUAAAAUCAAUCCAUUUUUUUAUAAAAAAAACUCCUUAGUUGUUGAGGAAAGAUUGGUAGUGGGAACAAAUCACCAAAGUCAGCAGCAAGGAAGUUCCGAGAAGUGGGCAGCCUUUCUUCUGCUGUUCAUGCAACUCCUACCAUUUUUAAAAUAAUAUAUUUAAAAUACAAUAAUAAAAAUGUAAUACGUAGCUAAUUAAUGUAUUAAGCAGCUAAUUAAUGUUGCUGUUCUUUCUUCUUGUUCUGCUAUUUUGAUUUUAUUGUAUUUUUAAAAAACAUUAUGAUUGUGAAAGCUAGCCAAACCAUUAGAGCAAAGCAAUGUCCGAAGGUUUUUGAGAGUGUGGUUGUUGUUAUUUUUUAAAGUGUUUUUUAUUUAAAAAUAUAUUAAAAUAAUAUUUUUUUUUAUUUUUUAAAAAUUAUUUUUGAUAUUAACGCAUCAAAAUUAUUUGAAAACACUAAAGAAAUACUAAUUUGAAGUAAAGAAAAAAAAUAAAAAUUUUUUUCAAAAGUACUUUUGAAAUGUAAAAACAAACAGAGCCUAGUGUAGUUACGCCCAAUGUUGUCCCGAGAUAUUUUUUAUAAUCUAACUUUUUUAAUAUAUUUUUUUAUUUAAUUAUGCAAUAUAUUCAUAGAAAACACUAAAAUAUAUAUUUCAUCAAAAUUCUCUAGUCUGAUUUGAUUAUGUAUUUUUCUAAAAAAAAAAAAGUUUUUGACUAUAGAAAAAGUAAUAAGAACCAGGAAAAGUAUCCUAAGAAACUGUAAUGAUUUGAACUAAAAAAAUAUUUUUUUUUAUUGAAAACAUAAAUUUUUAAUUCACGCAUUUUUUUAUUUAAAAAAAAAUGUAUUUUUUAUGAGUAACAUUAUUUUGCUCAAAUGUCCCUAAUACUUAAUUAUUCAUAAUGUAAUGAAAAUAUCAUAAUAAAAAUGCCUAAUCUUCUUGAAAACAAUUAAAUAAUUGAACAAUCACUUAAAUAUUAUUUUAAUAGAUUGAUUGAAAGAAAUGUUUUAUUAAAAAUAAACAAUAAAGAAUAAAAUGAUAUCUAAGAUAUAUAAAGGUCAUACAAGCCUUCAAAGAUAAUAUAUGUACAUGUACAAUACAAAUUAAUAAAUUCUAAUUAGUAAUAUUUAAUGCAAGUUAAGAAUAAGAGUUUGCGUUGUGUGAACCAUAUCAAAUUAUUUAAUAAUAAAUAAUUGUGCUGUGUUAUGAGUAAAAUCAGUAAAAUAUUUGGUGUUCUGUUGUCUUGUUGUUUGAAUUAAAAUUAUUAUUAAGAAUAUAAAUUAAAUUAAAUAUUUAAAAAACUAAAUGAAUUCCUUAAUAAAUAAAUAAAUUCUUUCUUUAGAAAGCAUGGAAAUGCCAUGACAUUGGCUUUAUAGAGAAUACUACGAAAUUAACAGCCAAAAAAGUUAUCGAUAGCUGUGUAAAUCAUUGGAUUCGAUGGAAGGAAGAUGGGAAGAGGGGAAAUGGGUAACUGGAAAUUAAAAAGAGAUGAAGAUAUGUGCAUGGCUACCUGUUUUUGAGAAUCAUGGAAAGUUCUCCCUAACUUAAAACGGCACCAAUUAUAAGUUCAUUAAAACAAAUCUGGAACACAACAGAUGGAAAAAACUCGAAACAACUCGUCUAGAAUAUAGGCAAUGAACUCGAAACAACAGAUUUAUUUCAUUUUGUUUUGUUUUUUAAAAUAAUACAAGAUAUAUUAUCUAUUUCAGGUGAAACAUAAUGGAAACGACAACCUUUAAAGGGAGUAGAGACCACAUAUGUGUCGCUCGAAUUCAAUAGCCUUUCUCCUAUACUGGCAUGUGCUUUACACGCACCAGCAUUUCUUUCCUUUUUAUUAUAUAAUAUUCAACAUCGGUGAGUGAGGAUUUGGUAGCUGGCCUUAUUAGUAGUGUUGGUUGCUGAAUUGUCAGGCGUGUUUUGGGGCCAUGCGUGGUCACCAAGAACAAAUCCGUGAGGGCGGUAAAGCUCCAAAAUGAAUAAUUGCCCAAUCGAGUUAACGUUUUAUGGUCUUUUCUCCAUGAUUCGGGUUGAACAUUUGACAUUUAUCCUUUUUUUCUAUAGUCUUUUCUCCAUGUUCAUUGUGAUGACACACACUUGCGACAACCAGUAAAUCUAUAGUUAAUUUCAUUUUUUGAUAAAAGAUAAUACCAUGGAUGUAGAAUGGUUACCAAUUGUUAGUUUAAUAUGCCUUGUAGCCAAUCAGUUAGUUACACAAGCCAUUAUUAUAUUCAUGUAAAUACAUAUUUAUUAUUAAUAAAGACUUAAUUUAACUUUAAUAUUCAUAUAAUAUUAGAUUAAUGAAUCUAGAGUAUAGAUAAAGUUUAUGUGCAAAAAAUGCUUUGCAAAGAAAAUUAUAAAGUUGCUAUAAUUAUGAGAUUUUUAAUGCAUCAAAGUAUUGUUCAUAAAAUGAUCUUGGUCGAUGCUCUCUUAAAUACUAGAUAUUUAUUAGAGCCAUAAAAACUGAUACAUAUUAUAUUUUUUCUUUAAUGAAAUGAAGCAACUGUUCUUAUAAGUUUAGCUAUAAGGGAUACCUAAAACUAAUAUGUAAGUGCUUGUCAUAAGACAUAUACACUGAAUUGACCCGCAUGUGAAUUCCAUAUGGAGAGAUUACCUAUGUCUAUGGAAAGACUCACGUGAUGAUUGUAUAUGUAAUCCUUAGGCUUGAGAUCACUAAGUUAUCUUAUAUAGAGAAUGUUAUGCUUUGAUCCUGUUACAUGUUAUCUUAAUUGAGGUAACAAAAUGAUAUAGAUUGGGUAUAUCAAGAACUAUAUGAAGGUACUUGAGUGAUCAAGAGAGGAUUUCAUCACCCUAUGUGAGUUAGAAAAAAUGUUCCAUCUGUUCUCAAAUAGUAUUGACUGAGAAAUCUUUGGCCAAGGUAGAAUGAGAUUUAAAAAGAGUUUCAAAUCUUAUUCAAAUGAUCAAUUAAUAUUAUGUAGAGAAUGAACAUGAUUUAACAUGUCAAACAUACUUCAUGCUUUAAUGUUAAAUAAGAACAUUAGUAAUAAAAUGGUAUUAAUUACAAUGAGAAACCGAUAAUUGAAACCACUAAUGACUUUUCUAAUAUUUUAGGGGAUCAUGACACGUUACUAGACAAUGCACAUGAUCUUCAAAUCUUUAAUUCUAAUUUAUUUAAUUAUAAUUAUAAUUUAUAUUUGGGCCAAUAUAUUAGGAACCUAAUAGGUCAUACACAUUAAGAAUUAAACUAUGAUGAUUUAAUUAAGUAUAACUUGAUUAAAAUAUAUUUUAGAAAUUAAGGACUAUAAUAUAAUUAAUACAAGGAUUAUAUUUUCAGAUCUAGAAAAAUCAGGUAAGGACUUGAUUGAGUUAAUUUAUAAAAUUAUCUUAAAUUAAUAUAUGGAUAUUAUUCAAUGAGGAAAUUGAUAUUUUGUCAAUUUAUAGGGUUUUUUAUAUUUCCUUACAAAUAGUAAGCUAUGCCUCUUAAUUUUUAGGAGUUAUCUGUUAGACAGAAAAACUACGUAUGUCACAGAAUAAAGAGAUAACACUCUAGAUAUAACAAUCCCUCUCUCCUAAAUAAGGACUUAUGAGAUUUUUCAUUAAUGGUUCAUGUGGAUUACCGUUGAAAGACGAACAAUUGAACGACUUCUAGUUUACAACAAUUCAGUCUUUUAAAAAUUAUUCAAAAUCGAAGAUGAUCAAAUCUUCAGAUAAUAAAUUCCUAAACUCUAGAUCUGUUUAACGAAAUUCUAGAGAAUCCUAAAUAAUUUUAUAACCUCUUAAUUUAUGCAAGAACUAAGCUAGAUUUCAUCCAAGCAAUCACUAACUCUAGUAUUUUCUGUGUUAAAAAAGGAGACUUCCUGGUGUUCGCCGGAACUUGGGUAUACUAUAUUUGAACAAAUAACAAGGUAAAAACAUCUUUUAACGAUAUUAAAAUAAUUUAUUAAUAUAAAUUACUUUUUUUAUAUUAAUAUUAAAAAUAAAAAAAUAUUUUAACAAACAUCUACUUAUUCAAACACUUAAAAAUAAAAAUCUUAAAAUCACAGCAUGAUAAAAGAACAAAGAAAGGAAUGGGACAAGGAAGAAAGAAUUAAAAAAAUGAUAUAUAUAUAUUCUAGUUUGUUGUUUUUCUUUAUAUAAUUUAUAUAAAACCAGCUUAUUUAAUGGAUCAUAUUUAAUUAAUCAGGACUAAAUAAAUAAAUAAAAGAUAUACUCUCUCUUCCCAUUUCCUCUCCCAACUGAAUUUUGGCGACCACCACCCACACAACGAUAGCCUACAGAACCACCAGCCAUACCACUUUUCAAGACCCCUUCUCCAUUUUCCCUCAAUUUUCUAGACAAGCAAAAGGAGAUAAACUUAUUCCCGACCAAAACGUCAAGAAUUUCAGUACAACAAAAGAAGAGAUUAUUACUUGACCAAAAAAAACUGGUCAGCACCAGUGGCGGAGCCAGAGAUUUUUAAAUGAGGGGGCAAAUUGUUAACAAAUACUAUAUUAUAUAGACAUGUAUUAAAAAUCAAUUCAAAACAUAUAUAUUAAUUCAUAUCAAUUCAAAACAUAUAUAUUAAUUCAUAUCAAGUAAAAUUAAUAUAAAAAUACUUUUAAAAUGAAAAAACUUAAAUUAUAAUUGUUCUCUUCGAGUUUUCAUAUUUUGAAACCGCUUCAUAAUAGCUUCAUUAUCAAUCUUAUCGAAGAUAUCUUUCUCAAUGUAUACAACCAAACUAUCAUUCAUCCACUUAUCUCCCAUCUUGUUCCGCAAUCUACUCUUGACAAUAUGCAUAGCAGAAAAAACUCUCUCCACUGUAGCAGUUGCAACUGGUAGAAGUAAUGACAAUUUGAUAAGCAUAUAUACCAAUGGAAAUAUCAAAUUCUUCUUUGUUUUUACCAUUUUCUCUGCAAGACUAGCAAUACCUUCAAUACCAGAGAACUCAUCAUCACCACGUAGAUCAAUAAUAUACGUAUCAAGUUGGUCACCAAGUACCAUAAGGUCCACUAUAGAGAAUUCACUAGGAUAAAAAAGAGCAAGACGAAUAAGCUUUUCUUUGUUGAAAGUAGAGAAAGAGUCAUUUGGGCUUAAACAUGCCACACAAAGAAGUAACUCCAUACUCGUCUCGGUAAAACGAUCAUCCAAUUCAGUAAGUUGUAUGUCAAUGAUAUUGUUAAACAAUUCAUAACGAAAAUGGUGUAAGUUUGUAAUCCCUUGAGAUUUUCGCCUUGAACGCCCACGAAGCUUGUACUCAUCAUCCAUGUUUAGAAUAUCAAUAUCAUGUUUGAUGCAAAAAGAUGACACUUCUUCCAGUAAAGAUUCCCAAUCAUUCUCUCUCAUCAAUUUGAAUCGUUCCUUUGAUGUUUUCAAUAAACUCAUAGCAUUUUCUAUGUCUUGAUCUUUUCUUUGUAAUGCUUGUGAUAACUCAUUAGUAACUGCUAGUAUCCUUCUCAAACAAUGAAGCAUGAACACAAAAUUAAAUGAUUCCAUAAUACCUGUUAAAACAAUCGCUUCCGUUCUCUGUUCUGAGUUCAUCCCAUCCUCCCUUAUAAUCUCAAGCACAUCAAGAACUGAUGAAAACAUUGCAAGUAAACGAAUAAUUGUAAUAUAGUGGGAGCCCCAACGAGUAUCACCAUACCUUCUAAGAGAAGUUUCUUGAUUCAAGCCUCGUCCACUAGAAAUUUCCCCAUUUUCAAGUCCUUCAAUAAUUCUAGCAUAUUGUUUUUCUCUAAUCACCUCCAUCCUUUUACAUGAUGCUCCAACUAUGUUUAUAAUGCUAGAAAUAAAAUUGAAGACAUCUCCAACUUCAUUAUGCUUCUUUGUAACAGCCACAAGAGUCAAUUGAAGUCUAUGAGCAAAACAAUGUACAUAAUAUGCACUUGGAUUGUUAUUUAGAAUAAGUGCUUUCAAGCCAUUGAAUUCACCUCGCAUGUUACUAGCUCCAUCAUAUCCCUGACCACGCAAUCUUGAUAUACUUAACCCAUGUUUAGAAAACAAAGCUUCAAUAGCUGCCUUGAGUGAACUAGCAGUUGUAUCUGACACAUGUUGAAUGCCAAGAAAACGUUCAAUUAUAUGUCCAUUGUUGUCUACAUAUCGUAUAACAACUGCCAUUUGUUCCUUGAUUGAUAUGUCACGUGACUCGUCAAUUAAAAUUGAAAAUAAUGAUCACCUAGAUCUUUGAUAAUCACAUUUGUAAUCUCCUCUGCAGCAGCUUAAGUAAUGUCUUUUUGAAUAUCUGGAGAAGUCAAUUUGUUAUGUCUAGGAGCUUCACUGAAAGUAACUCUUUUAAUAACUUCAUUAUUUUUGGAAAGGAAAUGCAAGAGCUCUAGAUAAUUUCCUUGGUUGCUUGAACAUUCACAUUCAUCAUGGCCACGAAAUGGAAGUCCUUGGUGCAACAAAAAACGAGCACACUCUAUUGAAGCAUUCAAUCGAGUUUGAUAAUCACUUUGACUCUUUACUGUCUGCUCAGAUAACAAAGUCAUGAUACUUUGUUUUUCAUUCAUCAAAUUCUCACAUUUUAUCCGAGCUGCAUUGUGACUACUAUUAGACUUUCCAAUAUGAAGAUCAAAUCUUUCCUUUUUUUUCCAAUUUGAAAACCCAUCACCCACAAACGAAUCAACACCCCUUUUGACUUGAAGAGGUAACAAUACAAGCAAAAGGCAGCAUCUUUGGCUAUACUGUACUCUAACCAUGUUGGGUAUGCACCAAACCAAGCCGGAUUAAAGCGUCGUAGUGUUGAUAUAUUCCCAAAUUGUUUUUGAGGAAAAUCAUAGUGUGAAGGUUGACAAGGACCUUUUUGUAGAUAAGCUCUUCGGAUUGCAUCCCUAUCAUUUAUAUGGUACUCAUAAAUUGGUCUUCUUAAGCCAGGGUCAGCAAGAAGAGUGUCAGGGUUGAUUUCAAUAUGACUUUUCUUUGAACUUGAUUGAGUUACAUGACUUGAAGCUUUGAUUGACUCCUCAUCCUCAAGGGAUUUACGCUUGAAAUACUUGUCCAGUGACAUGUUAAUUUAAUAUGAACCUGCUGGAUUUUUUAUCAUCAUUAGUGUCUACAUAAUAAUUAACACAAGUACACAAUAAUUCACUAUUAAACAAAAGUCAAUUGAAUUACACAAUAAUUCUAAAUCUUUCAUAUGAAAUUAAUAACAAAAUACAUGUCAAUUUAUCAAAAUCAAAACCUAUUUCAAUUCAUAUCUAAAUGCAUAUAAAUUAUAUGAUAUAAUAAGUAUGUUGAUUAAAUUAUACUUAAUUAUUUCUAGACAUUUAAUUAAGGAACAAUGCUUAGUGUAUGUGUAAGAGGAACAAUACUUGAAAAACAUGCUUUCUACUUGAUAUUUUACUUACAAAUAAAUCAUGUGAAAAUAUUAAAUUUCAAUAAACUACUCUAUCAAUGCAAGAGAUGUCAAGAAUAGUGGUUUUGCAUGAAUAUUAAUUUAUUUUUUAUAAUAAGAAAAGAAACACUUAAUUGAUUAAAUUACAGAUUUAAAUAUUUAUAGAGAACAUAUUCAUAACAAAACCCAUAAAUUAUCAUAAACCCUAAUAUUUUUAAUAACUAAUUAUAAAAGAAUAAAACUAAAAUUAGACAAUAAAAUAAAUAGAAAAGAUGAAGAAAAUUUACCUAAAGUACAAAGCAAAAGGCAAAAAAGCUUAAUUGAUGAUUAAAUUUGUAUAUAGGAGACUAGGAGAGGUAGGAACGGUGGCUGAAAAAAAAACCCUACAGGAGAAGAUAAAUAAACAAAAGGGAAAUAGGGAAAAUUGGGGAGCUGUAAAUUAUAAUAUAUAUAUAUAUAUAUAUAUAUAUAUAUUGGGGAGCUGUAAUUAUAUAUAUAUAUACACUUUCCGUAACUGUAACAAUAACAAUAGCUAUUGUAUAAUAACUUUCCUUACUUUCCGUAACUGUUGUUGUAAUUCAUUUUUGGGUCCCCACUUAAAAAAUAAAAAAAAAUAUAUUAUACAAAUAAACAGUAAAACAAAUGCCAGGGCGCCUUAAAAAUGCCCAAAAAUUGAUUGAGGUUGUUCAAAAAACAUGAAAACUAAUUUUUGACAGUGUGUCAUUGACUGAUGAGAGCCCCGAUGAUAAAGAAAAUUUAAUUUGAGGAAGAAAAAUCCAAAUUCAGAAGUUUAUGGACUCAAUUAAAUUUUAUUAAAGGUUUAAUUGAAUUUAUGGAGAGUUUAAUUGCAAGAAAAAUGGAUUUUGGAGUUAAUUUGGGUUUUAAUUAGAAGAAAUUAAUUUUUCCGGGGUCAAAUUAUAUUUUUUGGAAGUUCAUUUGGCAAAUCAGGGGCUUAAUUGCAUAAAAAUUGAAGUUUAAUAGCCAAUUAGGGACUGAAUUGAAGAAAUCCGAGACCAAGGACUAAAAUGCAAAACACGCGCAAAUUGAAGGUUGUCUUUGAAAUCUGACGCGUUUUGGCGCCUUUUCCUUUUAAAUGAAACGACGCGUUUUGACCAAAACGGCGCCGUUUCAUGCACUGUUUAUUAAAAAAAAAAAAAAGAGUCCAAAACGGUGCUGUUUUGACGGCACUGUAGAUCUUCUUCUUCCCCUGAACUUUCUUUUCCAUUUUUUACGCAAUAAGACGCCCACCAUUCGGCGCCCACUUGCCUCCUUUUUCUCCACUGAUCGAUAGUGGAGGGGGCGGCCAACAGUGGCCUCCCCACCGUGACGUCCCCCCCUGUUUUUGCCUAUAAAAACAGGGGAAGGGGAAAGAAAAAGAAGAGGAGAAGAGAGGGAGAGAAGGGGAAGGAUUUAACGACAGAAAGAGAGAGAGAGACGAGAGAAACGGAACGAAAAAAUAGAAAAAAAGAAAAGAAGAAGAAGAAAGAGACACGACAAAGGAGAGAAAAAGAGAAAAAAGAGAGAAAGAGAAAGAAGGAGGACCGUCGCUGGAACCACGGCGACAGCAGCACCGCCUCCGCUAGAACCGCCUCGACGCCACCCCGGGUACCCUCCUGCUCCCCGAUCAUUUUCUUCUCCUGCUGCCCAGCCUUGCAUUUGCAUGCAGAACAUGAAAAUGUUAUUUUGUUUAUCUUUUAAUAUCCCGGGUAUGACAUUAUACGUAAUACAUAUUCCGGAUAUUUGAUUAUUAGUAUUUUAAUUUUCUUUCUUUUUACAUUAGAACCUGGGAUAUGACAUUACAUGUAAUGCGUAUUCCGAACAAUAAUAUAAAAAAAACCACAACACGAUUUUAGAUUUUAUCAGACAUUAAAACAAUGCAGCCUACCUUAGGUAGGGCGUAGUUGGGGUGCUAAUACCUUUCCUUUACGCAACCAGUCUCCGUACUCGAUCUCUAAAGACUAGUUAAGGUUCCUAGUAACCAGAAUACUAGGUGGCGACUCCCAGUCCAUAUUUUCACUUGUAGAGACAAGAAUUCCUUGUCUCUCUCUUUAUUUGCCAGGAAUUGCCCCCUUUUGACCCACUAUGGCUCCGCCACUGGUCAGCACUGAAAGAAACCGAGUGAAUGAUGGAAAAAGACUAAUAGCUAGAAAACAAUCAACAUAACCAAGAACUAUCUGUAUGGUUUCCAAGAAAUUGAAAAGAAUCAAGGAGCGCAACCCUCUUUCUCCUCCAAGAAAAGAAAGAAAAAGAAAAAGAAAGGAAAGAAACUAAGAUAGAAAGUCAAACUUGGCUCCUCUUUCAGUGUUAAAAAAAACACAAAGAAGUUCGAGGAAGUGGGCAGCCGUUGUUCUGCUGUUCACACAGACUAAGAACUCCUAAAAUUGUAAAAUCAUAUAAUUAAAACACAGCAAUAAAAAUGUAAUAAGCAGCUGAUUAAUGCUGUUGUUCAUUCUUCUUGUUUUGCUAUUUUGAUUUUAUCAUAUUUUCUUAAGAAAUUAUGAUUGUGAAAGCUAGCCAAACUAUUAGAUCCAAGCAAUCAAAUAUAGAAACUAGCAUAGUUGCGCCCUGUUCUCCCAAGUACUUUGUAUAAUCUAACUUUUUUUUAUAUGAUUUUUUAAUUUAAUUAUGCAAUAAAUUCAUAGAAAAGACUACAACAUGAAAAAUAUAUAUUUCAUCAAAAAUGUGUAAUCAUUCAUGUAUUUUUCUUAACAAAAAAAAAGUUUUUGAUCACAACUAGAAAACCGGAGAAAACCAAUGGAAUUACCGAUAAAAAAAUUUUGUUCGGUAAUUUUAUCGACGGAAAUACUUUCUUCGGUGAUACGGUCGGUAUAUACAGAUAGAAAAUACUCGUCGGUGAUCCUGUCGGUAUAUACCGACGGAUACAGUCCAUCGGUAUCUACUGACCGGAUCACCGACGGAUUAAAUAGUUUUUUGGAAAGUUGCAAUGAUGCGAUGACGUGGAUUUUUUUUAGAUGAUUUUACUGACAGAAUGACCGAUAUAUUCAAACUGGGAUCUCCAUACAAUGACAUGGCACAUUCACUGGCGGAAUCACCGACGGUUUGACCGACGUAAACGGUCCGUCGGUGAUUCCAUCGGUAAAAUGGCGCCAAAGAAGUGUCAAAUUCUAAGUCAAUCCUCAAUUUGUUAUUUAUUCAAUGAAGUCCUUAAUUGCAAUUUUGAUUUUAAGAAUCAAUUCAAUUGCAUCACUGCCAAAUUCAAAUUUUAAAUCAAUUCAAUUUUUAUUUUGGUCCUUGGCCUUGGAUUUAUGCAAUUUAAACCCUAAUUAACCAUCAAACUUUUAAAUUUCUUCAAUUUAGCCCUUGAUUAUCGUCAAUUGGAUCCCUAGAGUUUUUAAACUUUAAUUGUUUCGAAUGAUAAUAAAAUUGACUUCUAAAAGUUGAUUUAAAUGUUGAUUUCCCUUGCAAUUAAAACCCUAAUUAAUUUAAUUAAAUCUAUGAUUGAAAAUUCCAAUUGAGUAUUUAAACACCCAAAAAAGAAUAUUUUUACUAAUGAGUUUUGUCAAUUGAAACUGUGGAUUACCAUUUUGGCCUACUAAUUUCACUUGGCAUUUAGGUCUUCCUGGACAUUUCAUUUUAGGCUUGCUUGAAGUGUAUAUUUCCUUGCAUUUAUUUUAUUAUUUUAUUAUAAAAUGGGUAACAUAGAUAAUAAUCAAUCACAUAAAAAUACACAAUGAUUUAGGGCACGCACAACUAUAAUAGUUUAUUUCCAUUUAAAUGAAUCCUUUACUACCGAAACUCUGUCCUUACAGUUAAUAAGAGCUUUCUGAAUAUGAUUUCGGCCAUUUUAGUAGUCUCAACAUUUCAUAAUUAUCCUUCCCAAAACACAAGUGACGUGAAUAUCUUUUUAGUCUUCGUCGAUACAGUUGACUCAUAUAUAUAUAUAGUCUAUUAUUUUUUUGUAAGAAAAAUAAAAAUAAAAAGAAUAAAAAAUUGGGUUAUAACAUUAACAAUUAAAUCCAAGCAUAAUGUUACUCUCUAUUAUAAGAAUUUAAUUUAAACACACAAAACCAAUAUUAAUUAACUCAUUUAUACCACAUUUAACAAUUUCAACCCAAACAGUCCUAAAUGUCAUUAAAAUAUAAGAAUUUAAUUUAUUCCUAAUUAAAAAAAAACAUUAUUUCUAUUUUUAUAAGUUUUUCUUAAAUGUUAAUUAAAUAAUUGUUUUUUGAUCAAAUUUUAAACAAUUCAUUCGUAUUUCAAUUCAUAUAUUUAUAAGAAUUUAAUUUUUUUAAUUGAUUUUUAAAUUUCAUUCUAAAUCUAUAGUGUAAAGAUUAAACUGGAUUAUUGUAAAAAUCAAUAGGAGGUCUUGCUUGUUGGAACUAAUAAUGCCCUCUUUUUUUUGGCAGCAUAUUCAUGUGGUUUUAUUUAAUUUCUCUGGUUAGUUUAUAAAUUUAUUUUGUUGGUGUCAACAUUAAUUUAUUUCAAACAAAUUUUCUUAUCUAAAUUUUGAGAGUCUUAAAUAAGAAAUUCUAUGAUGUUGAAUUUGUAAUCAUAAUAUUUACCACAUAAACAUAAAUAUAAGAAUAAGAGAUAAAUAUGAAAGAGGGGAUUUUUAAAAAUAAUAUUAUCAUUUCUUAUAGAAUUGAAUUUUUUUUAUUUUUUUAUAUAUCUAUUUCUAUUUUAUACUAUAAAUAUUAAUAUAUAGAUAUAAUAACAUAAACCAGUAGAGAUCCAAACAUAAGAAAAUAUUAUUAUUAUUAUUAUGGGAUAAACUAGCAUGAAAUCCAGAAAUGGAUAAUGCUCGUAAGCCCAACACAAAGCAAUACCCAAAUGGAGUCCAACUAAGGAAGUAGAAAGGGCCGAAGGGACUCUUUUUACAAGGAAGCUGCCACAUAUUAAAAUAAAAACUGUUUUUUUUAAAAAAAUUAUUUUUUAAUAUUUUAUUUUAAAUUAAUAUGUUUUUAGUAUUUUUAGAUCAUUUUAAUGCGCUGAUAUCAAAAAUAAUUUUUAAAAAAUAAAAAAAAUAUUAUUUUAAUAUAUUUUCAUGUCAAAAAUACUUUAAAAAGCAACUGUAGCUACACUCCAAAACACACUCUAUAGUCAUCAACAAAUAGAAGAACAACAAUGGAUGAACUUCAAGAAAGAGAGAAAAAAAAAAAGAACUCAAUGCAUCAGAGAUCAAAUACGUUAGCUAUGGUGGUGAGCAUCACCUACCAUUAAUCAUGAAUCUUGUCGAUCAAGAACUUAGCAAGCCUUACUCCAUCUUCACCUACCGUUACUUUGUCUAUCUUUGGCCACAACUUUCUUUCUUGGUAAAUGUGAUUCUUUUUUUCUUUUAUGUUGUUGGGAUUUUUUUUGGUGUUGUAACGGUGUUUUUAUGGGUUUUCAAUUUCAGGCGUUUCACAAAGACAAAUGUGUAGGGACUGUUGUUUGUAAGAUGGGGGAUCAUCGGAAUUCAACUUUUAGAGGUUACAUUGCUAUGUUAGUUGUCAAAAUGCACAAAAUUAAAACUAAAAACCAAAAUAAAAAAGACAGUUAACUCUAGGGCUAACAUUUGAAUUUGACAGGAAUAAUUGAAUUAAUUCUUAAAAAAAAAAAAAACAGUUAAAAAUGGUGUCUUUUCGAUGGCAUUGUGCAUCUUUCUUCCCCUAGAUGUGUUGUAGGCAGGGGAAGAAGGUUUUUCUUCCACUUCAUUGCAGCUUCUCCCUCACCUCUCUCUCUCACUUGCCUGAAAACACCGACACAACUCACAUCCCCCUUAUAGCCUACCACCAUGAUGAAAGGGGGUAGAGGGGACAAGCCCUGUGGGUGGCCCUGGGAUGGCUACAUAAUGGCUGCCCAACCUCUCUACCCCUUUGGCAUGAUUGGACAGAGGUAAGGUAAGUCUCUUUCUCCUUUCCCCUUAUAAAUACCGCCCUCACCAAGAGGUGAGGGGGAGGAUGAAAAGAUUGAAUAAAAAACAGAAAAUAAAGAGAAAAAAAGAAAAAAAACAAGGAAAAAAAACAGAGAAAGUUUGAAGGGAAUAAACAGAAAAGAAAAAGAGAAGAAAAGAGAGAAACAAAGAAAAAAUAGGAAAGCAAACUCCUCGGCCUCACACCAUCUUUCCCCCCUACUAACUUCACUAUAGCUCCUAGAACCACCAUCAUUUUGCUUCAUCACCACCACCACACCAUCGUGAGCCACCAUCAACCUUAGUUCCCUUAAAACAAAACUUGUUGGGCCGAUAUCGGCCCAACCCUUAUUUUAGGCUAAUAUUGGCUCAACUCUUUUGGACCGACCUCAACCCAAUUUCUCUUUGUGUCAACUUCAGCCAAAUUUCUUUUAGGCCAAAUCUCAGCCUAAUGAGGGUGGGCUUAGCCCACAUAACUAGGCCAUGCUCAUCCCAAUAUUUUAUUAUUAUAUAUUUAUAAUAAUAUAUAAUAUUUUUUUAUUACAUAUAAAAGUAAAAAAAGCAACAAAAAAUCCCAAAACAAUUCCAAAAACAUCCUUUCAAAAAUUUGUGAUUUUCUCACAAAUGUUUUUACCAAUUUUUAUUGAUAUUGGUUUGUAUUUUUAUACUGUAAAGAUAAAAAUCUGAUAAUAAAAUACCUUGUUUUCUCUAAAAUUUUGCAAAAAAAUUCUAAAAGAAAUGUUUUGUUUUCAUGCAUAAAAAAGGAAAUGUUUUGUUUUCAUGCAUACAACUAAGUCUCUCAAAAAAAUAUAUAUAAAAAAUCUUAUCAUGCUUUCAUACAAAAAAGGAAUAAAAAAAGAUAUUAAGUAUUUCUUUACCGAGGAGGACUUUUCUUAAACCUUAGAUAAACCAUGUAACAGUCUGACUGUAUUACUUGCUCAAUGUUAAAAGAUCCCAACAUAUCCUUUUUAUUUUAGGGUAAUCUUUUUUUAUUCACCAAAAAUUCGGUAGGGUUUCAUUUGUAUUUGGGACAUCCCAAAUUAUCGACUACAAUUAGUUUACUCAAUCAACCCAUCAUCACAAGGUCCUGUAAUUCCGGACGUUUCAUCAAACAUCAUAAUUCAACACCUUCAUACAAUCCACACAAUAUAUAUAUAUAUAUAUAUAUAUAUAUAUCCUACGAGUAAGUUCAAGAUGAACAUAGUCUACAUAUCAUAUCAUAAAAUUUAAAAGAAAAGGACUACUAACAUGUAAAGAAAGCAUUUACAGCAUAAUAAGUAUAAAUUUUCUAUCGGAUUCAUAAGAAUUCUAAUAGACAACUUAUAUAUGUUGCUUGUAAAUCUUUUAAACCCAAUUAACACUCAUUUGCAUAUUCUUAAUUUGGAUACUUUUAUUUACUUACGUGAACUGGGUGACCUUGCAAAAUCUAAUCUUGAAAUUCAUUUACUAGCAAUCCUAUCACGGACGCCAUUAGCCGAGGCAAAUCUUGUAAUUCAUCUCCCGAUAUUCCUAUCACGGAUGCCAUUAGCCGAAGCUAAUCUUGUAAUUCAUCUCCCGGUAUUCCUAUCACGGAUGCCAUUAGCCGAAGCUAAUCUUAUAAUUCAUCUCCCCGCAAUCCUAUCACGGAUGCCAUUAGCCGAAGCUAAUCUUAUAAAUACGCUAGGCUUUAUUUACUUUGAACACGAUAUUUAUUAUAAUUACAUUCGCCAAAAGAAUUUUAAAUUGUAUAAGUGCAAAUAGGAGGGAAAAUCACGCACCUACUUCGCCUGUCUCGUGUGUCUCGUGACCUCCCCUAAUAGAAGAUCCAAUCCUGGUUGCUCCUCUUGAAUCACAAGGAAGUUUUAGGUUAUGAUUCCUUAAAGCCAAUAUUAUAGAGAAUCCUUAUUCAUCCAUUACUCAUAUGUUACUUUCUAUACUUGUUCAUUUCCUCAUAAUAACAUACAGACAUAUAUCAUGCAUAUUUUCAGAGUUAGUAUCUUAAUGUACAAGUGUUCAUAUGACUUCAUUCUUUUAUAUUCUUAUAUAUAGUAUUCACGUGAAAGUUUACUGUUACUGUCUAACAUUGAAUUGUUACUGUCUACACAUUGAACUGUUACUGUCUAGACAUUUGAACUGUUACUGUCUACUUUUUGAACUGUUACUGUCUAACUUUGAACUCUUACUGUCUGAACACUCAUCAAAUUUUUAAUUAUAUCUAAAAUUCUAAAACUCCAUUUUAAGUGAGAUUGAUCUCGUUAGAAAGUUAAGACACGAGACUACUAGUUCUCUGAAGGAAGGAGAACCCAGUUCUGCCUCCAAGAUAAUCAAAAGUGCUCAUCAACUAAGCAGUCUUACUGCCCUAUAUAAUCAGUCACGACUCAGUCUCGGCUGGUAACUCAUAAUUGGAGUUCUACAUCUCCAAAUUGAGCAAGACCGGUUUUCUUGGUUAGCUAACAUUCAAAUCUACAAUUUUUAUGAAGGAAUCCAAUCCUAAUUUCCAUCCUCCUACUUGAAAUCUCACCAAAAGUCAGGAGACAAGUCUGUCCAGAUUCGUCUCCCCCCUCCCCUUCAUACAAUACUUUCAUAAACUACAUACCACACACAUAAAUUAACUUAAUCUUAAAAAUAAGUACUUUUUCCCCAAUUCAUGUCUAAGAACCCUAACCUAUGAUUCAAUAUCAAGGCAUCAAUUCAUUAUCGAAUUUAAAAAUGAAUUUUUUAAGAUCAUGUUUAGAACACCUUACCCGGUACGAAUUAAGAUUUUGAUCUUCAACUAGUUGAAGAUUUUUAACUCCCUCUUUUCUUUUUUUUUCUUGUUCAAUUUCUUGGUAAUCCCAUGCUCUCAAGUGUUUAUCCCAUCUAUAAACCCUUAAUCUUGGAUGGGUUCUUGAAAUUUUAGCGUUUCUCUCUUGAUUUCGCAAAAAUAGGUAUAAAACUCCCUAUUUUCUCUCCUUAUGGUUCCUGCAAAUUUUUGGUGAGGAGAUAGUACUUAUACUUUAUAUUUUCCCUUAUUUGCAUUUAGGCCCCUUUUUCCUUUAAGUGUAUUAUUCUCUUUAAUUAAAUUCAACCCUCAAGUAUCGGGUUUAUUAUCAUGUCUCGAAUUAUUUCACCUGGAAAUUUAUAUUCAAAAAUUUCUGAAUUCCUGUUUUUAUUUAACCAUAUAAAUGAAUUUCUUUAUUUUUCCCGGGGUUUACAAACCAACAAUUAGAAAUCACAAUAAUACCUUAGUUUAUAUCAGAUAAUUAAAUAAAGCAGCUUACCACAGGUAAGAUGUAUUAUAAGUGUUAAUAUCUUUCUUUUACGCAAUUAGUCCAUGUAUCCAAUUUCUGAGACCAGUUAAGGUUUCUAUUGACCAAAAUAUCUGGUGGCGACUCUCAUUUUCUCUUUCCACUAAUAAAAAACUAGAAUUAUUUGUCCUUUUCAUUUCUCGAUCCGAGAGGAAUCACUUUUAAAUCUCAUAACCUCGGCUAUAAUAACUAUGUUUUGGUACCAUUUUCAAGUAUUUAUAUAUCUAUGCACAUAACGUGUUAUCUAUUGAAAUAUUUUUUAGUUAUUUUUUAUGACUAUAAAAUAAAAUCAUAGUUUUUGUACUGCAAAACCUAAAUUUUAUCUUGCAUACACCGCCAAAAACGUUUAGGAACCUCAAAAACUCUUUUUUUUUUAACCCCAAAAUAUCUUCUAAUUAGCCUAAAUAGUAAAAAUCAAUCUAAAUAAAAAAAAAUAUGGGUCUAAUAAACUUUUUCUAGCAUGGUUAAAAGGCAAAAUCAUCUUUAUUAAACUCCCUUCUUCAAAACAAAUCCAUUAAUGUUAAAAUUAGUCUUUUUAUGACCGGAAUAUGAUUAGCUUCUUUUUUUUUUACCACAUUAAUUCUCCCCCCUCUCAACAUUCAAUAACUAAAAAUAUGAUAAAAAUGAAGUUUUAAAACAGAGUCGUAAAAAUUUUAAACUACAUGAUUAAAUAAAUCUAAAAAACAAAAACUUCAAGGACCAUAUUAAACUUUUCUACAACUUUCAAAAAAGAUUGCAUUAUAGGAGAAUAGUUUAAUGCACAGUAACUUGAGUCUUGCUGGACAAUAAAAUUUGUUAUGGUAAGAAUAAUAAAUGUUUUAAUUUAGAUUAUAACACGAAGCAUGCACAAUUAAGAUUACAACAAGGAGAUUUCAAGAAGUAGUUAAACUUAGGUUAUAUUAGAUAUGACUUUUGUAAAUUGAUUUAAAAUAUUUUUGAGUUUUGAUUUUAAUUUGUUUUUUGAAGUAAGUUAAAAUAGCUUUUGAUUUAAUUUUUUUUUGUUAUAAAUUGGAUUCAAACCUUUGAUUUAAUAAAAAACAAGAAAAUUUUGCUUUAGUUUGUGGAUUUUAUACUGAAUUCUUUAUUAAAAAGUUAUUUUGAAUCAUUUUUACAAAUAAUGCUUAUAUCUUACGGUUAUUUUAGUUUAUUUUUUUCAUAAAUUAUUUAUAAAAAAAACUUUUAAAUUAUAAUUCAAAUUAAAAUAUCAUAAUUAGUUAUGAAUUGGAUUCGAUGAAAGGAAGAUGGGAAGAGGGGAAAUGGGUAACGGGAAAUUAAAGAGAGAUGAUGAUCUGCGCAUGGCUACCUGUAACAGAACAGAUGGAAAAAAGUCGAAACAACUCGGCUAGAAUUUAGACCGAGGAGCAUUUAGAGGAUAGAAUAUUUAAGUGAGAUGAAUUUUGUCUCACUUUUUUCUAUUAAACCGAGGAGCAUUUAGAGGAUAGAAUAUUUAGAGUCUCUAGCAAGAGCCAGCAAGGUAUCUGCUCGAAAAAACCAUUCAACAAGAGAUUGUUCUGCUAGGAAAACAUGAUAUCAGUAUCAAACUUUUGAGCAUAUAGUACAGCAUAAAGUCUCAGUCAUCUUGAAAUAUGUCGACAACAAGUCACAUAAGCAUAUGCAAUAGAAACAGAGCAUCAAACAGACAGAGAAAACAUACUGAUGCAGCAAAUACCGAAGUCGUAGAGCCAUUAGUUUGAGCAGAAAGGAAAAUGAAAGUCCACACAUUAAACUGUAAACAUUAUGCCCUUGUUUUUGAAGAUUUAGACACUUCAAAAGAAACACACGCUCCUAUUUUUGGGAAGUUCACAUAGCAAACACUUAGAUAAGUCGACAUCUUCUUUUGGUAAAUAAAACUGUUACAAUGUGAAUCCAAUUUCUAUCCCAUUGUUACAAAAGCUUCUUGUGAUGAUUUUGAGGGUGUAAAUUCCUUUGAUGGAAGAAAUUCUCUGUCUUGAAGAGGAGCUUUGUGGGACACUGAUGAAAACGUUUUUGUAUUUUAUUCAAGGUUUCUCAAAGUCACCGUCUUCUUUUCCAGUGCCUUGCUUAACUUGAAUUUUUGUAUCCAAUUUGGACACCAAGUAAGGAAUUUGCCAUGUUUUUCUAUUUCAUUUUCCAAACAAUUCACAGCUUCAAUUUUGUUGUUUGCAUCUUCCAGCCAUUUGCUGACAUCUUUCUCAAUUUCUUCAGCAUUCCUUUCAGCAGCUUUGACAUCAUUUUGUAUACGAUCUAGUGCGAAAGCCAGGAUCUGCUAUUGUUUAUUGAAUUCGACAAAAAAAUCAUUGAAACAGAACAUGUAACGAAACUUCCUUGUUGCUGGUACCAGCAAGAGUUCUGCUAUCUUAGAUAUAAUGGAUUCACCAACACUUUCGAUAGCCAUUUUCUGCCGGUCUGAAAUCAGAGACAUAGAUAACGACUGAGAGUGAGUCAUUAAGUAAAAUAGGCAUUGAGAGAAUGAGAAUAAAAAUUUAUUACCUUAAUUUGUGAAAAUAUGUGCGAAAAUCAUUGGUAUUGAUUGCUCAAUAAUAAAAUAUAGCGAGGAACGAAACGAGAAGUCCUUUAGCUCUAUAUGAACCCUUCUUCCAAAGCAAGAAGGGAAGGUAUAAAUAUAGCAAUAAAAAGGUAGAAAUAUACUUUAUUUAUUUUUGGAAAAAUUACCCUAGUAUUUUACAGUUUAAUUGAAUUAUAUUUGCUUAACGUGUUUGAAAAAAAUAUCUUCUAUCCUAAACUUUUAUGCGCUUGUAAUAAUUUACAUUCUAUAAUUAGCGUGAUAAAAAAAAAUCAACAGAAAUUAUCUGAUUAUUUACGAAUUUGCUAAUAUUUUUCAUUUAAUGACCAAGAAAAUCAUGUUGUGUUAAAAUAACAAAAAUACCAUAAAAGCACAAAUUUGGAUCUAUACAUUAACACAAAAGGAAAAAUAUCACCAUCCAGUUAAGUUAAAUAUCAAAUUUAUUGAAGUGAAACUUAUGAGGAAUAUAUUUCAUAUUCUGGAGAAUAUACGGAUGAGUCAAAGUCGCUGAAUCAAAAUUCAUGCUUUAGAGAGUUUUGAAUGCUUUACAGGAGCAGUGAAAUAUUGAAGUGAGGAGGGUUCAUAUUGAUUCCAUGAAGUUAAAAAACAGAUCAACUUUUCUUACCCUACUCACAAACAACGUUGGCAAAUUUACAGCAGAUCCCAUAGAAAUAACAUUCUUACACCCCAACAAGUCAGAUCCCAUUCUGCCACACCAGUUGCUGAGUUGCUCGGAGGCUUCAGUUUUGUACCAAACCCCCCCCAACCAGUCAUCAACUGGUGCACUUUGCUUUGCAGCCUUUGAGGAAGAAGUAAAAGCCUCCAAAAAUAUCAUCAUCAUUAUUAACAGAUGAACUAGACCCAUUUAACCCACCAAAAUAUAUCAUCAUUAAAAGAUGAUUUCGCACUCGUAUUUUUAGUACUGGAAAACACAAAAUCAUAACCGAAAUCAAAGCCAGUGCUAUUUUGUUUUUAAUUCUUUUGAAAAACAUCAAAAAUGUCAAAAUCAUCAUCAAAAUUCUAUAAUUUUGAAUUGCAAAAGAGAGUUUCGUGAUAAUCCAUGAAUGACCUUUCAAAAGAAUUGGAAUAGUAGGUUAAUUUAGAAGAAUAUGAGGAGGGUUUCUGGUUUGAUGAAGGGAAAUUCAAAUAACUAAACUGGCUAUAUGUUUCUUUGAGGAUGAAACAUGCGAGAGAUUCCACCACCCAGGACAAACAACUACAUUGAGAACAAAUCCGUGUGAGAAAUCAAUUUUAAUAGUAAUUUUUUAUUUUAAAAUAAAUCACAAAUUCUUAACUGUUUGUUACUGAAAAAGGAGAGAGGGAGAGAAAUGAUGUCUUUAGAUGUUUUUGAAUUAUAGGAUGCUAGGGUAAUUUUUUUAUAUAAAUAUAUAAAUAGAAGAUAGUGUUAAAAAAUCGAAGGGAGCUUUUACAGGAAUACUAUUAUCUAUUUUCUUUUCUCAAAAUCAAUAAAAAAGAAUUUCAUUGAGAGAAAAAUAGUAUAUUAUCAAUCUAAUGACUACAUUUAUAUUUACAAUCUUCCAAAGGAACAACUUUAUGUUAAGAAGAGGAGAAAUAUUAUAACAAAAUAAUAUUUAUUGAUUCAAACUAGUGUUAUAGACACUUGUGAGUAAAAGUGUCAAUUCCCAUUAAAAAAAAAAAUGCAAUUUGAUGACAUAAUUAAGGUAGUAAGACUAAUACAGAGACACUAACAAACAAAUAAAAAAAACAAUUUGUACAAAUACUCACCUAGCAAAGAGAGGGACGGAUAAAAGGUUCACCACGGUCAAUUUUGUUUUCUUUUUCUUGGUUUAAUUUUUUUUUUUUUGAAAAUGAUGAAUAAUAGAAAAAAAGAAGAAGAAGAAAAACUUGCAAAGAAGCACUAUUAAUGGAACGAGGUUAUGAUGAAAUCUCUGUGUCACACUCUCAAAUAAUAUACUUUAUCCAUUAUAUUUUGCAUUAUAUGUUCAUAACACAUCAAACUCCCAAUUUAGCAUUCUUAUGCAAACUACAACUGCAGAAGGCUUGUGCAUGUAGGGGAGAGGUAGGAAGAGCUGCAAAAGUUGUCGCAUCUAUUGUUAAGCUGUUCAGAGUUUCUAUCUCAUCAUCCAAUCUGCCAAACAUUUAAAAGACCAUGUGCAGGAAUUGAUCUCAAAGGGGUAGCACCUCAUAUGCCUACGGGAGAUACAUAACCAAUGAUGGUUGUUCUAUCCAUAAAAUUAGCUAACAUAUGACUAUUUUAUUCAAUUAACAUUUCAGGAUAUGAGUUCUCCUAGCCACACUCAAAAGCCCUAGCCACUAGAUGAACAAAGCACCUAAAAAAUUAAUCACCUACCUAAUCCAAUACAUGAAAAUUUGGUUGAAAUCUCCUACAAUGAAACGAGUUAAUUGAAUGCGAGAGUUCGAUAAAAGACUGGUUGUGCAAGGAGAAAAAAACAUUACUCUUAGUACACCAUAUUUAAGGUAUGCUACAUUAUUAUUUAAUUAUUUUUUAGGUCAUGCUUCUAUUCUUUGGUUUUUUCUAAGGUCUAAAAUAGAUCUUAUUUCGUGAUAGAGUCUCUAUUUUAUUGGAUGAAAUCCUAACCGUUUUGAAGUCUAAAUUAUAACAUCACAUUUAUUUCCAAAAUACAACUAAUUCCUAACAUAAGGAUUGUUAUGAUUUUUUUGGUAUUUUGAUCAAAUCCUAAUCGAUAAUCAUAAACUGAUUGUAAUAUUUAUUUUUGUAUUUUUAAAAAUAUCAUAAAGAUACAAUUUUUGUUUAUAUAUGAAAAUAAACGUGAAUUUUUAUUUUAAGAUUUGGUCGUAUGUAAAACAAAACAUUUUUUGAAGUGAAAAUUUAUUUUUUGAAUUAUCAAUUUAUUUUUUAUUUUUUUAAUCUUUUUAAGAUUUUAGAGAAAACCGGCUAUUUUGAUCAAGUUUAAUUUAGUUCUUUCAUUUUUUAUUUCUCUCAAUUACACCCUUGAUUGAUUUCAAAUUUUCAAUUUUAUGCAAUUUCAUCCUUGAAAAAUUCAAUACCAACCCUAGAUUUCAACCCGUUUUUCACAUUAGUCCUUAGUUUCAGAUUUAUACAAGUUGACCCUUAAGUGACCAUUAAAUUUUUAAUUUUCUUUAAUUUUAGCCCUGAUUUUAAUCAAUUGGGUCCUUAGAGUUCCGUGUCAUUUACAAAUUGGUCAUUGGUUGUGAAUUUCUUCAAUUUAACCAUUAACUGACCACAAAACUUUGAUUUUCUUGCGAUUUUACCAACGAUUUCAAUCAAUUGACUUGGUAAAAAUUAAAUUUGGUCUCCUAAAAUUCCAACCUUCUUAAUUAAGCCCGAAUUGGGCUCCCAAACUUAAUGUUUCACCAAUUAAGCCCCUAAUAAAAUUAAUUUGACUAAUUUAAAGUAUAAUUAAUCCUUGCACCUAAUUAAAUUCAUUAAUUGGACCCAAAUUAAUUCUUAAAUAUAAUUCAAUUUCAAUUUGGCCUAUGAUUAAAUCAAAUUGGCCUAUUAAAAAUCUAAUUAUGUUUUUAGGCUUGAUUUUUAAGUAGAUUUGUCCAAUAAUCAUUUAAUUUGUUCUUAAAUCUGCAUUGUCUCUUUAGUUUUGGGUGUAAUGGGGUACAUUUAGGCUCCUAAUAUCAUCCAAAGUUGUACCUUGAUUUGAAAUCCUCCCAGCUUGCUUUUGCCAAAAUGUGAAUCCUUAUUUUAUUUAUUCUAUUUUUUAUUUGGAAAAGAAAAGGGAUGAAUAUGAGGAAUAACCCAGAAAUAAGUUAUGACAAUGAGAACUCUACAUUCUAUGAUUUUAUUUUUGAAUAUAUUCUUAUACAUUUAUAAUUAUAAGAAACGUUAAAAGGUAUGGGUAAAAUAUUAUUCUCACACCACUAUUCACUCAGCGUUGUGGAUUGCCUUAAUGUUUUUUUCAUCCUGUUCUUAUAGGUCUAAAUUGAUAGACAAUUUUAGUAAAUUUGUUAAGGAAGAGCAAAAUUUAAACACAAAUAACCAAAGUGAAAGAAAAAAGCAUAAAAAAGGGUGGUAGUUUUCGGAUUGAAGCCAAAAGUUCACUUUGGUCCUCCUACUUUUUGAAUAAUAACUUUUUGGUCCUUUAAGUUUUCCCACAUUUUAUUUUUGGUCCAUAACUUCGUUUCUCGAUUUUUUUUCAUUCCUUAGUUUGAGAGAGGAGACAGAAAGUCAAUGGAUUACAAUGUUAGAGAAAGUCUCCGUUGACACUGAUUUUCACAACAAAAACAGUCGAUUUUGGUCUUAAUAGAUUCCAUUUGAUAAAGAGAGUUCUAAUGAGGUGUUUUUUGCUCUUGAAAUUUCCAAAAUGUUUAUGAUUUUUUGGGCUAAUUUAUUGGUUUAUUUACAUUAUAAGGAUCAUUUUUAGAUGUUUUGGUGUGAACUUUGUUUAAAUUUGCAUUCUUAGGCCAAAAAACACCCUACAUGAUUUUCUAGCCACCCCUUUAAUAGUAGAGAACUUGAAAGUCUCAGUAGGUGACAUGUUGUUUCCCUUUAUCUUUUUUCAAAAACAUUUGGGGCAUUUUCAAAUAAAAAAAUAAAGUUCACCGUAAACUAGCCCUUUUUAAAAUGAGCUUGAUGUGCGUGCUUGACUUGAUAGGCCUAAAAACGCCAACCUAUUUCUUUAUUUUUUUUAAUUAUGUUUUUUAAUUGAUAUUUUAUAUGUACUUUUUAAUGAAUUUUUGAAUUUAUAUUUGAAUUAAUGAUUUUUCUUUCUAAAUUUUUAGAUAGUUUAUUUAGACUUUUUUAAAUUGUGGUUAUCUUUUACUUAUCUUUUAUGUGUUUAAUAUCUCGAAGAAAUUAUUCUAAUUCAUCUAUAAUUUUUUUUAUGUUUUAUAUAAAUAAACUUUAUUUUCAUGAUGUGUUUAUAAAAAUAAGAAUUAUUUGUUCUUGGUAAGAAAAAAUGAUCUUUAAGAUUAAAAGAAGAAGAAGAAGAAGAAAAAAAAGAAAGGUGUGCAUUAAGGGAAAAGUUGAGGUUAAAUAUUAUAUUUAUCUAUCUUUUACUUUUAUGAAAAUGAUUAUUAUUUUAUUUUGUAAUUUGAUUGGCAUUAACAAUUCUUUAUUAGUUUAUUAGUUCAUAUUUUUUAAGAUUUAUUUUGUUUCACAUUUCUCAAUUAAGAGAAUCAUGAUACAAUGAAAUGCAUUUGAAACACCGUCCCAUUUUUCUACUACAUUAAAAAUUAACUUCCUACAUGUGGCAUGUUGCGUUAACAAUUGUUUUUGUAUUUAUUAACUUAUAUGAUCCCCAAUUUAUUUUAUUAUAUGUAAACAUCAACUUUUUUUAUGCACAAUUAUAUUUUUUCUCUCGAUAUCAAAAAAUAUAUUAACAACACUUAUACAUCCAUUCUUUUGUGUUGGAAAAUAUUAUCUAACCCAUAGCGAAGCGAGUUAAAUAAACAUGUCAAUACCUUUUUUUUUGUAUUUAUGAUUAGGUUUUUUUCUUUUGUUAAAAAUACAUUUGAAAAGCAUUCAUAUUUAUUUAUUUUGAUAAAAAACAUUUCUGACCCAUAGUAAAGUGCGAGUCAAAUAACUACUAAUAUGGCUAUAGUGAGUGUCUUUUUAGUAUAUGUGGAUGUAGGAAGCAAUGUGUUAUAUUAUUAGUUAGAUAUAACUUACCUAUUCAUUAUUAAAAAAAAAACAUACAAUAAAUAAAUAUAUUAAUAGAAACCUAAAAGAGAUCGACUGAAACAAUAUAGUCUCCGAGAGAAAAUAUUGUGAAUUCACGCAAUGUUUACUUUCUAUUUUUUUGUCUUUUUUUUAUUUAGUGAUCUUUGAUGAUGAAUUGAUUAAGAUUUGAGAUGGGAAAUGUAUUUUUAUUUGUUUUUUUUAUGGUUAUCUUGCUCUCAGUAUGUGAAAAUUCCUAUGCAAGGAAUCUUUAAGAUAUGAAGAUCUUAUGCUAUAGAAGCAGAGAGCAUAUUUGAAUGGAAAGCAAGAACUGCCUUCAGAAAUAAUAUUGCAGAAUUUCUUAUACAAUCGUACUUCUUUCUGUGUACAUGAAUGAGUAUAUAUAUACAUAUAUUCCAACUAACUAACUAACUUUCUUUAACUAAUUAACAGAAUAUAACUAACUUCUAACUGUUUUAACUGUCAGGAUUUAACAGUAAUGCAUAUAUAUUUAAUCUGCUGGGAUUUCUUCUGCGUCUGCAUGGUGCUGGGAUGUUUCUGUCGUUGUGUUGAUCUUUGGAGGAUUGUGUAGACUCCAAUAUCCCCCCUCAAGAUGAGAAUGGAUAUUUAUCAUUCCCAUCUUGGCAAGGAUAGGAUUAAGAGUGAGAUAUCCAAGGGGUUUGGUGAGGGCAUCGGCUAGUUGAAAUCUAGAAGGGAUAUGAAUGAUAGUGAGUAAUCCAUCUUGCAGUUUCUCACGGACAAGGUGACAGUCAAGCUGUAUAUGUUUGGUUCGUUCAUGAUGGACUGGGUUAGAAGCAAUCUCUGAGGCAGGUUUGCUGUCGGUAUAUAGCAGGGCUGGUUUGGAGUGAGAUAUAUGAAAAUCAUUCAACAAGUAAAGCAGCCAUUGCAGUUCACAUGAGGUAGUGGCCAAUGCACGAUAUUCUGCUUCUGCUGAGGAUCGACUAACAGUGGGUUGUUUCUUGGACUUCCAUGAGAUGAGUGAAUCGCCAAGAAAAACCAGGUAGCCGGUGACACUACGUCUAGUAUCAAUACAUCCUCCCCAGUCACUGUCAGAAUAAGCUUUCAAAUGGAAGGUAGAAUCAGCUUUAAGAAAUAUUCCUUGUCCAGGUGUGGCUUUGAGAUAUCGAAGGACUCUUUCGGCAGCUUGCAGAUGAAUUGUAUGAGGGUUGGACAUGAAUUGGCUUAGUGUUUGGAUUGCAUAGGACAAAUCUGGGCGUGUGAUGGUAAGGUAGAGAAGUCUGCCAAUUAACCGACGAUAAGAAGCAGGGUCUGACAGAGAGGGCUAUCAUCAUUAGCACUGAGUUUUAGUGAGGAUUCCAUAGGAAAUUUAGCUGGUUUAGCUCCAGAAAAACCAGUAUCGGUGAGGAUAUCUAAGGCAUACUUUCUCUGGCAAAGAACAAUCCCUGUUGCAGAUCUAGCAACUUCAAUGCCUAGAAAGUACUUAAGGUGGCCUAAGUCUUUGAUAGGAAAUGUGGUGCGAAGGAACUGUUUAACUUGGUGGAUUGCAGUGAGAGUAUUUGAGGUGAUGAUAACAUCAUCAACAUAUAUUAAAACUGCGAUGAAUGUGGCUGUAGUUUUUCUGAUGAAGAGGCUUGAAUCAGAUUUGGCUUGGAUGAAACCAAAUUUUAAUAGAGAGGUGGACAGUUUGGAAAACCAUUGUCGGGAAGCUUGUUUCAGGCCAUAUAUGCUCUUUUUGAGUUGACAAACUCGAUGAUCAUGGGGAGUGGAGUAACCAGGAGGUAAUUGCAUAUAGACUUCCUCAUGUAAAUCUCCAUGCAAGAAGGCGUUGUCUACAUCCAGUUGAUGUAGAUGCCAGUUGUUAACAGCCGCAAUGGUGAGAAAAACUCUGACUGUUGUCAUUUUGGCUACAGGGGAAUAAGUGUCAAAGAAAUCAAUGCCUUCUUGUUGAGUGUAUCCCUUAGCUACUAACCUGGCUUUGUAACGUUCGACUUUGCCAUUGCUUGAAAUUUGACUUUGUAAAUCCACUUGCAGCCAAUUGCAGAUUUGUUGGGAGGCAGAGGAACUAAAUCCCAGGUUUGGUUGUGUUCGAGAGCUAAAAUUUCAUUAGUCAUGGCUUGUUGCCAAUGUGGAAUGGUGCUGGCUUGUUUGUAAGUUUUUGGUUCAAAAAUUAAGGAAACAGAAGAAGUGAAAGCACGGUGUGGUGAGGAUAAUUGAGAAGUAGAUAAGAAGGAGAAGAGUGAGUGUGGCUUACCAGAAAUGGAGAUAGGGUCUGCUGAAGGAAUCUGAGCCAUGGUGCCACAAUAGUACUGUUGUAAAUAAUGAGGGGGUUGUGUAGUACGUGUAGACCUUCUAAGAUGAGAAAUAUCAUUUGAAGGUAAGGUAGAAUUGGUGGGAACAGGAGGUUGUAAAGGCAAUGUGGGUGAGGAAGUGGAAUGGUUUGGAGGAGGUUGGGAUGUUUGGCUAGGGAAAGGGGCAAAGACCUGGGGAAAAUCUGGAAAUACUAGGGGUGUAUGAACUGUUUUUGGUAUGGAGGGGAAUAUGGAUUCAUGAAAGAUGACAUUACGAGAUACAAAUGUUCUGCAUGUGUGUAAGUCAAGGACUUUGUAACCUUUGAUAUGUGGAGGAUAGCCAAGAAAAAGGCAUUUGGUGGCCCGUGGGUGAAAUUUGCCUCUGUUGUGGGUGAGGGUGCUGGCAAAGCAUAAGCAACCAAAAACUUUGAGGUGUUUGUAAGUUGGUGGUUUGUUGAAUAGGAGCUGAUAUGGUGUUUGUUUUUGAAGAAGGAUGGAAGGUGUGCGAUUAAUAAUGUGGGUGGAGGUGAGGAUGCAAUCGGUCCAGUAAGUUAAGGGGAGUUUGGUUUGAAACAUGAGAGCUCUUGCUACAUUGAGUAGAUGCUGAUGUUUCCUUUCAACUUUGCCAUUUUGUUCAGGUGUCUCAACGCAUGUUGUUUGAUGAAUAAUGCCAUGGUCUUGGUAAAAAGUUGGCAUGUUAAACUCUUGUCCAUUGUCUGUCCUGAUAGUUUUAAUGCUGGUAGUGAAUUGAUUAUGAACAUAGGUGAGAAAGUUGCUUAGAAGACCUCUAGUAUCAGAUUUUGAUUUCAUUAAGAACAGCCAAGUGAAUCUACUGUAAUCAUCUACAACAGUAAGAAAAAAUUGAUGACCAGUGUAUGAAGUAACAGAAAAGGGUCCCCAAAUGUCAAUGUGGACCAACUGAAAAGGCUGUGUAGAUGUAUGCAUGGAUAAUGGGAAGGGCAGCCGUUUUUGUUUGGCUAAGGGGCAAAUGUCACAAAUGGAGUUUCCAGGGGAAUUGACUGAAGGAUCUAUUUUGUGAAGAAUGUUGAUUUUGGAAGUAGGAAUGUGUCCUAAACGAAAAUGCCAAAGAUCAGUGGUGGCAGUACAAGAUUGAAUUAAUGCUGUGGAAGGUGGACAUUCUGUAGAUUGAUCAGUAGGUUUGUGGAGAUGGUAUAAGCCAGAUUCAACUUCAGCAUGCCCAAUCGUCCUCCAUUUGUUGAGGUCCUGCAGGAAGCAUUUUGUGUGAAGAAAGAACAAGCCAACAGUGUUAUCAGCAGUUAGUUUUGAAACAGAAAUAAGAUUAAUAUGGAAAGAUGGUACAUAAAGGGCAUUGUGUAAGGUUAUAUCAGGUGAAAACUGAACCUUCCCUGAAAAAAGAAUAGGCACUUUGUGGCCAUUUGGCAGAUGAACCUGACUUUGUGUUGUGGGCAGAACAAUGGAUUCGAAAAGAUUGGGGCUACAGAUCAUGUGAUCUGUUGCUCCUGUAUCAAGAAUCCAGGUAAAUUUGUUCUGAGGUGAAGAACUGGUAUGGCAUGAAAAGGAUAUACCUGAGGCAAUUACUUCUUUGGCAGUGCUGGUUAUCUUGGAAUUGGAAAUGCUAUUUGCAAGGGUAAGUAAGUUCUGCAUUUGCUCUUGGGAGAAAGUGAUGCUGGGAGUUUCUUGAUGUUGAUCAAGAACAGUAGAGUUAUGUGCAGUAGGCAGUCUUUGAUGAGUCCUGUUUGCAGGUGUCAUAGCAGCAAAUCUUUUUCCUUUUGGCCCCUUCCAUCCAGGGGGAUAUCCAAUAAUCUGAAAGCAUUUAUCAACUAAAUGGCCUGGAUAUCCACAGUGAGAGCAAGUUACCUCAGAUUUUCCUUUUUGUCUAGUAAAUCGAGUCACAUAUGUUGAGCCUGUUCUUGGAUUUGGAUUAUGAUAUUGUGCAGCAGCCAGAGCAUGUGAAUCAACAGGAAUACCUACCAUAUUCGUCAGGGUCCUUUGGCUUUCUUCUUGUAAAAGUAAAGAAAAUACUUUUCCCAUGGAUGGUAAGGGAUUUUGAAGCAGUAGUUGGCUUCUAACUGCAGAGAAGGAAUCAUGGAGCCCUACCAGAAAUUUCAUUACAUAAUCAGAUUGUUGUCGAUCUGUGAGGAGUUUCAGAAUGUUGCAAGAACAUGAAUCAAAGUUUCCACAUUUGCAGGUUGGUAUUGGACGAUAGCUGAUGUAUUCAUCCCAUAGAGCUUUGAAUUCACUAAAGUAAUCUGUGAUAUUUUUUGAGUUUUGAGAGAUAGAACUUAAAGAUUUCUCCAAACUGAAGACUCUUGGGCCAUCACUUUUCAGGUAUCUUACCCUCAAUUCUUCCCAAAUUUCGAAGGCUGUUGUGAAGUAAAGAAGACUGCUGCGAAUAUCUUUAGUGAUGGAAUUCAUUAGCCAUGAUAGAACUAGAUUAUUUGAUCGUAGCCAUGCCACCUGAAGAGUUUGAUUGUUGGUGAUGGGUUGAGAUAAAGAACCAUCAAUGAAAGCAAUCUUGUUUUUCACAGUUAAAGCAAUUUUCAUGGAUCUGCUCCAUGCAAUGUAAUUGUCACCAGUGAAGAUUUCUGAAACCAGUAAUGCACCGGGAUUAUCAGAAGGGUGAAGGUAGUAACAGCUAGAAGAAUCAUCAGAUAGAUUCAUAACAGUGGUGUUGAAUGAAUCAUUGUGGGCUGUAGAAGCAUUUCCUUCAAAGUGAUCAGACAUUUUUGUAAAGUCUGUGAGGGAUUUCAAGAAGAUGAUGAAGGAGAGGAUUUUUGAAUCUUUCUGUUGAUGAGAAACAGAUUAUUUUGCAGAGAAGAAAAGAAACAAAUUUUAGUAGUUUAUGCUCUGAUACCAUGUGAAAAUUCCUACGCAAGGAAUCUUUAAGAUAUGAAGAUCUUAUGCUAUAGAAGCAGAGAGCAGAUUUGAAUGGAAAGCAAGAACUGCCUUCAGAAAUAAUAUUGCAGAAUUUCUUAUACAAUCGUACUUCUUUCUGUGUACAUGAAUGAGUAUAUAUAUACAUAUAUUCCAACUAACUAACUAACUUUCUUUAACUAAUUAACAGAAUAUAACUAACUUCUAACUGUUUUAACUGUCAGGAUUUAACAGUAAUGCAUAUAUAUUUAAUCUGCUGGGAUUUCUUCUGCGUCUGCAUGGUGCUGGGAUGUUUCUGUCGUUGUGUUGAUCUUUGGAGGAUUGUGUAGACUCCAAUACAGUAAAACAUCUUGAUAUUAGAAUGAUGCUUAAAUUCACAAAAAAUAAAAAAUUAUUGUUUGUAAGAAAUUGAAAAUGAGAAGAUCAAAAUUCAAACAAAUAAAAAACCAAUUCUUCUAACUUCUCCAGCAAUGUGAAGCCAAUUUGUAUCAAUGGAACAUUUGGAAUUAUUUGAAAAAUAAAUGCCCAAAUAUAUUCACAUGCUCAUACAAUAACAUUUUUAAUAAUGCAUUAUGCACUAGAAACAGAACAUCAAAUUGACAGAGAAAACAUGCUGAUGCAGAAAAAACUCGAUAAUUGUUCUAGCGACAACUCCUUUAGAUUAGGAAGCACUAUCUCCUUCUCAACAAUUCUUCUUCUUCUUCUUUUACUUCUUUCCACCCGUUAUUUCUGGUCCACUCUCUAUUAAUGCUUGAAUCUUCAGCUACUUCAGAUACCUGUAAACCAAUUCAAGCAUGGCAUGCUCAUUUUAACUUGUAAAUCUUAUUAUUGAGCGAAACAAGAGACAAACACACUAAAAGAGAGGCAAGAAAUCAAGUCAAAUCAGCAGCACCUCUGAUUGAGCACUCAUUGUGUUAAAGAUUAUACAAAACACACAUGCUAAUCAUCCGCUGCAGAUAAAGGAAACCAUGUAUGGUGCAUACAUAUCCUCUGAAGACUCCCUGUCAACAUACAUAUCCUCUGAAGACUCCCUGUCAACAUACAAUUCCAGCUGAAACAAACUUCUAGUCAUUGUAUUUAUAUUACAUACAACUUGUAAUCUAUCUUAUAAAAAGGAACUCACAUUAAUAAAGAAAGUAUGUUCAGCAAUUUUCUAUAUGGUAUCAGAGCCUACCCUUUCUCUCACGAGACUCUCCAAUAUGGCCUCAACUACAGAUGAUGUCAUCAUAAACUCUGAAACUCACAGCAAUGGUGAUACUCACCUCAUUGCAUUCAAUGCUAGUUCUCAACUUCCCCUGAAACUGACACCCUCGAAUUUUCCCUCCUGGCGUGCUCAACUAAUGUCCUUGCUCAUAGGUUACAACCUACAAGGACAUAUUGAUGGAACCACUAGUUGUCCAUCUCAAACAUUACAUGAUCCAAAUACUGGAUUAUCUACUGCAGGUGAUUCAAAUCCUGCUUUCUGGCGCUGGUUUCGGCAAGAUAACUUGCUCCUUCAUGCAAUCCUUGCAUCUGUUUCAGAACCAGUUUUGCCAUUAAUCGCCACUUCCACCACCGCUCGUGAUGCAUGGGUCAAAAUACAACGAUUGUAUGCAAAUCGAUCACGCACGCGUGUCAUGCAACUCAAGGAAGAGUUGACACUUAUACAAAGAGGAAGCCAGUCAGUUUCAGAUUACCUCAACACUGUCAAAAGGCUAGUUGAUGAACUCACUGUCAUUGAUACUCCCAUAUGCAUAGAUGACAUUACGUUAUAUAUUCUCAAUGGAAUAGGAGCAGAAUUUCUUGAUAUAGCAACCAUGAUACGAACCAGAGAAACAUCCUUCACAUUUGAGGAACUCCAUGAUGUAUUAAUCAGUCAUGAAAAUUAUCUCAAGCGCAUUGAUGUCUCCAACUCCAGAUUAAUAGCCACUGUUAAUGCAGCUCAACACAGCAGAUACUUCAAACCAGGACGCUCUUCAAACCCUCCUACUGGUUACUACAGAUCCAACCAACGAAGAUACGUUCCCAGAGACAAAUCCAGUCAGCCUCCACUAAUUUGUCAACUAUGUGAUACCAAAGGACACUCAGCCAAAACAUGUCGCAAGGUAUCAAGGCCAAAAACUGCAAAUUGUGCAGCUACAAAUGGCACACAGGAGAAGAAAUGGCUCAUGGACUCAGCAGCAUCACAUCACAUCACCUCUGAUCUCACAAACCUCUCAAUUCACUCUGAAUACGAUGGAACAGAUGAAGUAGUCAUCGGUGAUGGCUCAGGUUUGAAAGUAACACAUGUUGGCUCCAUGUCAUUGAGCUCAUUGUCAAAAUCCUUUCUUCUGCAUAAUACUCUCUGUGUCCCAAACAUACACAAGAAUUUAGUCUCUGUUCAUAACUUUACCCGUUCAAAUAAUGUCUACAUAGAAUUUCAUCCAUUCUAUUUUCUUAUGAAGGAUCAGAACACGGGGACAACAAUACUUCGCGGUGACUGCCAGGAUGGUGUCUAUCCACUGCCACAACUAUCAUCAAUCAAGAAGCCUUCAGCACUUGCACUUGUUGGUGAAAGAACCUCCCUUGAUCGUUGGCACACACAGGCUUGGUCACCCCUCCACCAAAAUCUGUCGUUCCCUAAUUAGUCGGUUUUCCCUUCCAGUUCUAGGCUCCACCCAAACUUUGUCAUCUCUGUGUUCAGCUUGUCAAAGCAAUAAAAGUCAUCAAUUAUCGUUUUCAAAAACAUCACUCACAAGCACACAUCCUCUACAAAAUAUCUACACAGAUAUAUGGGGACCAGCAGCUUCAACCUCCAUCGAUGGUUAUCGAUAUUAUGUUUUAUUUGUGGACCACUUCACAAAGUACUGCUGGUUCUUUCCAAUUCAUCACAAAAAUGAUGUUCGUCCCAUUUUCAUUCAAUUAAAAGGAUUUGUUGAAAAACAGUUUGGUUUUCAAGUUAAAAAUCUAUACUCUGACAAUGGCGGUGAGUACCAGAGUUUGCGUCAGUAUCUAUCAGAUCAGUCUAUAAAUAUGCUCACCACUGCUCCACACACACCACAACAAAAUGGACAAGUGAACGAUGACAUCGUCACAUUGUUGAGACAGGUCUCACAUUGCUUCAUCAAGCACAUCUUCUAGUGUCCUACUGGACACAUGCCUUUCAAACUACAGUUUAUCUAAUUAACCGCAUGCCAACUUCAAUUCUUCAAAACAAAAGUCGUUUGAAAGCAUCUUUGGUCGUCAACCAAAUUAUCACAAACUGCGCACCUUUGGGUGCCAGUGUUUUCCAUGGCUCAAACCUUACAAUCACAACAAGCUGCAACCAAAGUCCAAAGCAUGCAUUUUUCUUGGUUACUCAAGCACUCAAAACAAUAUAAAUGCAUGGACAUUCACUCAUCCCGGAUUUACAUCUCAAAACAUGUUGUCUUUGAUGAAACUGUUUUUCCCUACUCUGCCUCCACUAGUGUGUCAUCACCAUCACAUGCAGGGAAUCCCACAAUCAUCUCUACCAUCCCGGUGGUUCCACCCUCAAGAAGAUACCAUCCAGGCAAUCAUCAGAGACACCUGUUGCUCCUGUUGUUCCUCCAACUCACCACCAACAUAGAUUCUGAUCCACCCCCUGCACCAUCAGAAACAGGUUAGUAAUACAGCCACCAUUGUCACAAUCACCCACAAGACAACAUAACAUGAUCACAAGAUCCAUGAACAACAUCUAUAAGCCAAAACAAAUCCACCUCACCACCAAACACCCCCUCCCACAACCCAUAGAACCAACAUGUGUCUCUCAAGCCCUGGAAGAUAAAAAAUGGCGACAUGCCAUGUCUGAAGAGUUCAACGCCUUGGUUAAACAUGGCACCUGGGAACUGGUUCCAUCCAAGCCAUCCAUCAUUCCUGUAGGUUGCAGGUGGUUCUUUCGUAUUAAACACAAUGCUGAUGGCACAAUAUCAAGAUACAAAGCAUGUCUGGUAGCUAAAGGAUAUCAUCAACGUUAUGGCCUUGAUUACAAUAAGACCUUCAGUCCAGUCGUCAAACCAGUAACAAUCAGAACUGUGUUAUCCAUUGUUGUUCAACAUCGCUGGUGCAUGAAACAACUGGACGUAAAUAAUGCAUUCCUUCAUGGGUCCUUACAAGAAGAUGUUUACAUGAUUCAGCCCCCAGGAUUUGUCGACUCCACAGUGCCCACCCACAUCUACAAACUACACAAAUCCAUCUAUGGCUUAAAACAGGCACCACGUGCCUGGUAUGACAAACUCAGCUCCUUUCUUCUGACACUAGGAUUCAAGCAAUCAAAGUCUGACUCCCUCCUUGUUUAUCUACUCAAAGCAGGACAUCAUCUUAUUUCUACUGGUAUAUGUUGAUGAUGUGUUACUCACAGGUACUGAUUCCCAGGUUAUGGCCGACAUAAUACGUCAACUUGGUGCCCAAGUCUCACUAAAGGACCUUGGUGACCUGCACUAUUUUAUUGGGAUCGAAGUGCAGCCAACUCGUGAGGGAAUCUUCCUAUCUCAACAAAAAUACAUCAGAGAUCUCCUCAAGAGAACUAACAUGGAAGGAGCCAGACCAAUUCACACACCGAUGUCCACCAAACCAACACUUCAACUCAAUGAUGGUCAUCCCCUUGCAGACCAGAAACAAUAUCGAAGUGUCAUAGGAGCCCUACAGUACCUAGCCAUCACCAGACCAGACAUCGUUUUUGCUGUGAAUAAACUUGCUCAAUUCAUGCACCAACCCAGUCAACUUCACUGGACUUCAGCAAAACAGGUAUUUCGGUAUCUCAAAGGCACAAUCACUCAUGAGAUAUCAUUAACGCCCUCUGUCAAUCCUCAUCUCUCCGGAUACUCAGAUGCAGACUGGGGCAUUGAUCCAGAAAAACAGACACUCUACCUCUGCCUAUCUCAUAUUCUUUGGCAACUGUCCAAUCUCAUGGAGCACAAGGAAACAACAUUCAGUUGCCAGAUCCUCCACAGAGGCCGAAUAUAGGGCCCUAGCCUCAACAACUUCAGAACUCAUAUGGAUUCACAAUUUACUUCAUGAACUGGGAAUCAAGAUGUCCCAACGUCCUAGCAUAUUCUGUGAUAACAUUGGAGCUACUCAACUGAGUCAAAAUCCAGUACUGCACUCUCGCAUGAAACACAUCGCCAUUGAUCUGCACUUUGUUCGCGAUCUGGUAAAGAAAGGCGUUUUAGAUGUCUCCCAUGUCAGUACCCAUGACCAACUUGCUGACUUCCUCACUAAACCCCUUCCACGUAUCAAGUUUCAAGCUAUGGUAAACAAGAUAGGCUUACUCAUCAGCCCGCCUAUCUUGAGGGAGCGUGUUAAAGAUUAUACAAAACACACAUGCUAAUCAUCCGCUGCAGAUAAAGGAAACCAUGUAUGGUGCAUACAUAUCCUCUGAAGACUCCCUGUCAACAUACAAUUCCAGCUGAAACAAACUUCUAGUCAUUGUAUUUAUAUUACAUACAACUUGUAAUCUAUCCUAUAAAAAGGAACUCACAUUAAUAAAGAAAGUAUGUUCAACAAUUUUCUAUACAUUGAACCAUCUGGUGUAGUAGCAAAUUUUGUGGUAAGCUUUGGACAUUGAUGGACCUUCAACUUCUCCAAACGAGGGAAUAAGAAAUAAUCACAUCAUCCGAAACUAAAACAGACAAUACUUGAUAAUUGUUCUAGCGACAACUCCUUUAGAUUAGGAAGCACUAUCUCCUUCUCAACGUUGAUAGGUGAAGCUUGAUCAUUGAAGACAUAUUCCAGUUUACCACACUCUUUUAUGAUGAUAGUUUUUAAUUUUGGGAAGCAAGGAGAUUCUGGAAUUAUUUCCCUUUCACCAUCCUUUUCUCUGAUAAUAUGCUUCAAUUCACCCCAUUUACUUAUCUCAAGUCUUUUUAGCUUUGGCAGACUUUGAGCGAGGGAUGGUGUAAAGAUAAAUGUCAGUUUGUCGAGAUAAUCCAACUUCAGAUGAGCAAGACUUUGGAGGCUGACAUUCCUGGUGGGACCCUUCCAUAUACAUUUGAGCUCAGGUAACCUUUGCAGCUGUAACUCUGUUAAAGAUGACAGCAGCUCCUUCUCCUCACAGCGUCCUUCAUCAGGCAGCUCACCUAAUUCAAAUACCUCUUCCAAUGAUUCGCAGUCCUCAAUUUCCACCUCCCAUAGAUUUUUCAAAGCUUGCAGCAAUUUUGCUGGAAAUGGAGUGCGAACAUCCCCACAAUCGUGCACUCGUACAAUUUCUAAUCUUUGUAAGAAGCCGUUUUGCUGUCCAUGGAUGACCAUCUUAUCAGAGAACAAUAUUAUAUUUUUUCACUCUCAUAAAAACAAUUUAUAUGAUGUAUAAAUAGGAGAAAAAAAGGAUUAAAUACUUCUUAGAGAUUACAUAUUAUUAUUUCAGUUUUUUUCUUAAUUAGAGAUAAGUUGAAUAAUAAUUAGAUUUUUGCGAAAAAAGGUUAAAACAACGCCUAAUAAUUAGUUUCAUGUAAAAAAUAAAAAUAAAAAUAAAAAUAGUAACUAAUAUUUUUAUUUUAGUUAUAAAGUUAAUGAAUUUUUAAAGAUAUUUUAAUUGAAUUAAAUAUUUGAACACAAAUUAAGCUAAUAUGAUUUCUAUGAUUAAUUGUUGGUAUUAAGUUUCUUAUAUUUAUAUAUGUUUAGAUAAAACAAAAAAAUAAGCAGUGACGAAGAAAGAAUAAAUCUAACAGAUAAUAUAAAUUACAUAAACGAUGAGGCAGUUAAAUCUAACAGAUAAUAUAUUUCAAAUGAGGCAGUUAUAUCUAACAGAUAAUAUGUUCUUCCAUAUGAUUAAUUUUAAUUAACGCAAACAACAAUGAGGCAGUUAAGUUUCUUAUAUUUAUAUAUGUUUAGAUAAAAAAAAAAUCAUAAAAAAUAAAAAUAAGCAUUUAUCAAUUACUUUACUUUUAGAAAUUGGGAGGAAGAAAGAAUAAAUUAUCGCAAUUGACAAUUUAAAUUAGUGGAGAAAUAUAAAGUACGUACUUGUAGCUGUGCCAACCAAUUACCCACUUCUUCGUGGCCUUUAAUGGUUAGUUGUUGCAAAGGCAAUUGAGCAUCAAAAUUCGUUGGACCUAAAAAGCUGUAAUUUGAUUGGAGCCGAAGAGACAAUUCUCUUAGCCGAGGGAACUUGAUGAUGCCAUCUCUGGGGAGUGCAUCUCCUUCUCCACCGUAAAAUAUUUGCUUUAAAUUGUCAGCACGAUCAAUCGUCAUCUGUUCCAGGUUCGUAAGACUUGGAGACAUGGAGACAGGGAAGAAAUAUUCCAGUGAAAAACAGAGAGAUAUAUAGAGAGUUUUUAAUUUUGGAAAGCAAGGAGACUCUGGAAUUAUUUCCCUUUCACCAUCCUCUUCUCUGAUAAUAUGCUUCAAUCUAUGACAAUCUUCUAUGUAAAGCUGUUCUUGCUUUGGUAGAUUUCGAGCGAGGGACGGUGUGAAGAUAAAUGUCAGUUUGUGGAGAUACGAAACUUUCAGAUGAACAAGAUUUUCGAGGCUGACAUUUCUGGUGGGCCCCUUCCAUAUGCAUUUGAGCUGGGGUAACUCUGACAGCUGUUAAAGAUGACAGCAGCGGCAGCUCCUUCUCCUCACUGCUUCCUUCAUCAGCCUCACCCAAUUCAAAUACCUCUUCCAAUGAUUCACCGCUGUAAACAAUCACCUCCUUUAGAUUUUUUAAACCUUGCUCAAAUUCUAAUUUAUGUAAAAACAAUUGCUCAAAUGUCUUCGCAUUGAAGGAUGUACCAUCCAAACUUAAUCUUGUCGAGGAUGGGUAUUGUCCUUCAUCUAAUGAUAUGUGCC
RNAcentral lists this long non-coding RNA (54100 nucleotides) under Populus tremula. RNAcentral's name for it is "long non-coding RNA (PTRE_LNC000324)". The record is from RNAcentral. Lineage: Eukaryota; Viridiplantae; Streptophyta; Magnoliopsida; Malpighiales; Salicaceae.